UGAAAACAAACCUGUCUUGACACGUCAUCAGCUGCCCCUUAAUGUUUCGUCGACCAAUCACCAACCUGCAAGCUAUUGUGUAGAUAAAAAAACGAUGAACCCGCCCUAUCUCUUGUUGCAGGCCAAAUUUUUCCCAUGAGAGACGGCAAGCUAAUCCUCAGGCACUUUGAAUCAAAUCUGAAAAAUGGGCUAUCUUGUUUUGAGAUUAUUCAGAUUCCAUCCACCAGAUGACGAAGAAAUCAUCAAUCGUCUUCUGAGCAAGAAGAGACUUGAUCGUGAUUUCUGUGUCCAACCAAGGAAGAAGCAUACAGCUAAAUGUGUCGUGUACGGAUUUCAUUCUACGUACAGCCUUUUUCAUAAGGUGACUGCUUUGUUUAUUUAUUUCUUAUUUAUUUUCUUGAUUUUGGUUCUCGCUAUAAAAAAUUUCAAUAAAAAGUCUGUCUUUGCUGGAAAAAAAAAUUGAUUUUUAACAUUCUAAAUUUUGAGCUCGUACUGUUUACAAUUUGUGUAAAAGGAAUUUAUUAUUUGCCUCUUAGAAAGAAAAUGAAAAAAUUAAGAAGCCUAAAACUUUCAACAUGUGAUGAUGGUCAAUCGAGUCACCAAUUAUGUCUAAUUUUAGAAAUCAUGUUGAAGUAAAGAGAGUUUUUCCAGGAGUGACAAAGCGCACGCCUAGAGACAGUUUCAAUAUCAAGUUAUCCAUUUUUGCUGGAUGAGACUCUUAUAUGAGAUUAUAUCUUCUUUUCCAUUUUAGGUUGAAGGUCAACAACUACCUAGUCUUGAUUCUGACAAUCAUGUUGCAGAAAAUAUUAGACAAGAGGUGAGGAGGAGCACAACUUAGCUUUCAAUUUCAAUUCUUAAUUUAUGUAUAGGGAACAUAAUCCAAUCCAAAACUAAUGCUUCUUGUUUCUGGUUUUAGGUAGAAUAUGAACAAGUAACAGAUCAUAUUAUGACUUAUAACGUAGAAAUCAUGUUGCAGAAAGCGUAUGUUCCAGUUCAUGGGUAAGAAAGAACAUGUGUUGUUGACAGUUUUUUAUAUCAAUUAAUUAUUAUAGUGCAGAAGGAAUAUAUUCAGAACUAAUGCUAUUUAUGGUUCUUAUUUUAGGAAGAAUUGCAACUACUACCAAGUAACCAUUUGGUUUCUGGUUCUAGAAAUCAUGUUGCAGAAAAAAUUGAAAAAAAAAUAUUUCCAGAGGUGAGGCAAAAACUUGAAUUUAGGUUUUUUUCAAAAUCAACUUACAUAUGUAUGAGAAAUGGUAUCCAGAAUUUAUAAUGCCUUGUUCAUGGCCUUUAUUUCAGGUAGAAUAUCAAUUACUUCAGGUAAAAUAUCAAUUACCAAGUCAGAGAAAGAUCACAAUUAAGAAAUAUCAACCUACCAAUGUAGUGCAUAGGUAACUAUUUUUGGGACUAAUGAUACGUUGUCAUUGGCUCUAAUUUCAGGGAGAACCUCAACUGUUACCAAGUCACCAUUUCACCUUGCACUAUAGAAAUCAUGUUGCAGAAAAUACUUUUCCAAUGGUGAGAAAAAGCAAGCACAAUAUCAUUAAUGAACUAGAAAUACAUACAUACAAAACUAAUGCUUAUUUGUUCAUGGCUAAUUCAGGUAGAAUCUCUACAGUUGCAAGUCACAUUUGAUUUCUUAAUUUUUAUUUUAGAGAUCAAGUUGCAGAGCAAACUUUUCUAGGGGUAAGAAAGAUUGCUAUAUAAACAAUUUCAAAUGCUAAUUUAUAUGUUUUGUGCGUAACAAUUAUAGAACCUGCAUUUCUCCCUAAGUUCUUCUAAGGAGGAAACUUUUCUGUUUGCUUAAUUUGAUAUAAUGAAUCCCAACUGCAGUCACUAGAGCAUAUAUCAUCCUCAUGAUAUUCUGCUGGGUUGAGCAAUGACUGAUGUCUUGAAUUUUCAAUUUAGCGGCCGCGGGUAGCAGGAAGAUGGAAAUUCACAAUGGGGGCUGCCAUGGCAAAUAACCUCUUGAAGAAACUGAACUUGCUCAUCCUCGUCACUCCAGUCUCCGCUAGCUAAUGGAGAAUAUUAUUGUUGAUACUGUGGUAAUGCUUCAUGCAUGCAGGAUGUAUUCCCAGCUCUUACAUAUAUAUAAGAAAAUAGUUACUUCUAUAUGUGAUUGUGUUGCCUAGUUCAUGAGAGUAGGUGAUCGUUUAAUGGAAUAUACUGCUACAUUGCUAUAUUUGAUCAAUUUACCACAUACAUAUGUUCCUUAGAUCAAUUGACUUGAGCUAAGCUAUGAAAAGUUUGCCAUUUGCACAAUAAUCGCUAACAAAUCCAAUAUCAAACUACUGGCCUGCAAGGAAAGAAGUGCCUGUGGGUAAAUGAUAAAUGAACUACUUGAGAAUAUUAAUUAAGUACACAUUUAACAACAAUCAAAUCCUCUUAGGAGGAAAUCAUGUUAAUUUACUGUAGUUGAUAAUUUGAUAUGGUGAUAAUGCUUCAAUCAUUCUUAUUACCACACAGAAGGCUGUAAGUAGCAGUUGUAAAUAACUAUAUGGUGAAAAUGCUUCAAUCAUUCUUAAUACCACACAGAAGGCUGUAAGUAGCAUAUGUGAAUAACCAUGAAAUCCUCUACAAGGAAAGUAUUAUUAUUAUAGAUAAUGUCACACAUGGUCUGUAAUCUUUGAGACUAAUUACAUGCUAAUGGAACGGUUAUGUUGUUUACUACCUGGGUAGUCCAUUUGGUGUGUAUUUGAUAUCUUUGUGUGGCAUAUGGCCAAGUUUCUUAAACAUAUGGAAUAUUUGUUUAUGGUACUCAUACGAAUAGUUCAUAGGCCUAAUGCCAGACCAUCCAUGAUCCAUGGAUUGUAUAUGAAGGGAAAGUGGUUUCUUUGAUUGUGAGAUCAUGGCAAUUGCUUUCCUAUACCUCAGAUCAAAUUGUCUAGUGGUAAUCCCCAUAAAUCUCCUAUAUCAGAAUAACUUGCAAAGCUAAAUAUCAAUAAUAUCAGAUGAAGAUGCUCCUCAAAGACUUCAGUUAGAACGAAGAAAAUGGAGGAUGGCUGUUCCACUGACAACUAUAUAAAUUGUUAUAGGGAUGGAGGAGCAAGAAAUCUACUCUACUGGUGCAAUUUUAAAUAAUUAAUAAAUAUAAGAGCUAUAUUUUUAUUCAUAAUAUAUACUCGAGACGAUUAUAUCACCGAGUUCGGCUCUUAAAUUUUAAAGGGCUAAGGGACUUAAGCAGGUAGAUCACUAAGGGCUUCAGGGGGCAAUACUCAAAGCAUAAAAUAAAAUCUGAGACAUUUUUUUUUUCACUUAAGUGGGGCAGCUUGUUAUAUGCUAGGAGUGUUGAGAAUUAAUCCAGUCUGUUCAAUCCGCCAGAUCCAUAAAUAUUUAAUCUGUAAAAUUUCAAUUCAUAGAUUAAUGGAUUUAAUUGCAUUAAAAAUUUUAAAUUUACGGUCAAUGGAUUUGAUAUAGGUUUACAAAAGUAAAUUCGUAAAAAUCUUAAAUACGCAAUAUGUGUGUGUAUUUUUAAUAGAACUUGUAAAUGUGGCAUUAUUAAUAUAAAUAAGUUAAAAUGUAGUUACACUAAUAUUGCAUUAUAUUUUAUCUAUUGAUAAUAUAAUAUAAAAAAUAAUUAAGUAAACAAAUACAACUACCUGAGAAGUAUUAUUGGAGUUAUGUUAUUUAUUUCAAUUAUUUCUAUCCUUUUUUCACGUUAAAAAAUACGAAUUGUAGGUGGACAUUUUGAUAGACUAUCCAAACUUUCAAGUUUCAACUUUUGUAUUGAUUUUAUUCCAUAAUUUUAGUUAGUUUUCAUGCAUUGAUCCAAACAAAUCAGAUUUUGUCUCUUUGGUGUGUUAUUUAAAAUAUUAAUUAAUUUAUUUUAAAUUUAAUUAGUGAUAAAGUUAUUUUACAUAGAUUUUUUAUUUAAUUAUUUGUGGAUUGGAUAAAAUAAUUUUUUUUUAUUAAAAUCAAUAUACAAGAUGGUGGAUUGGACACAAAUUGUAUCAAAUUUGCUUUCAAUCCAUGAACGUACGAAUUGAAUUUGGAUUAAUUUCACUAAUUCGUGAAUUAGAUUGGAUUAAAUAUUUGUAAUCAAUAAAAUCUUAGAUCAGAUAUAGAUUGGUCCGCGAACACCCUUACCAUAUAUGGCCUUCAUCCCUAAUUUGUUAAGACUUAAUUUUAAUAUUAUUUUUAGACCUUAAUUACUUUUCAGUUUAUGCUUUUAGAAUUUUUGUUGCUAGCAAAAGAAGAUAUAAUCUCAAUAUUGUUAUUGAUAGUGUAAUAUUGGUUCAACUUUCCCUUGUUGAACCAUACAAUUUGGAAAAAAUAAUACUCGAUAAAUUGAUAAUUUCAAUUAAAUAAGUUAUUCUUGACUGUUUGAACUUGGGGCCAACAUGUUAAAUUAGUAAUUUAUAAGAUAGUAAAUUAUAAAAAAUAAAAAAUAAAAUUGAUAGGGCCUACUUACUAUAUAAAUUAAUAAUUAACUAAUUUAAAACUUAAUCUAUAUGAGGUGUCUAUGUGGCUUCUUAAAAAAUAUUCCAAGUAUUGCUUACUUCACCAUGAAAUUAGUUUUCAACUUUAAUCUAAUCUUUAAUUUUUUAUAAUGUGGAAAGAAAUUUUGGUUGACAUUGUCUUUUGUAAUAAAAAAUUAUAUGAUGUCAUUAUCACUUUGGGUGCUUCUUUUUUGUUAGUAAGCUUUGUGGUAGAACCACCAUUUUUUAUUUACGAAACUAAAAUUUCUAUAAAGAUGUUAUUCCUAUAUAUUUUAGUCAAUCAUUUAAUAAUUAAAUAAAACAUAGUAAAUAAACACAAAAAUUUCAAAUCAAGGUAAAUCUAUAAACACAAGCAUGCAGAGGAUAUGGCCAAGUUGUUUCAAACAGUUUUAUUUAAUUGGCCAUCUUGUUCGAAACUUGCGAUUAAUUUAGGCUCUGCUCGCCUUAUACAAAAGCAGCUCUAAAUAUAGGCAAACAAGGCAAUCACCUGAUAAAAGUGGAAAAAAUAUUCACCCAGUCUAGACCCAGACUCAGACUGGACACAAGGAAUGCUAGGUACCCACCCCAAGGAUGAACUCGAAUCGGUCUCCUACAUUACUUGAUAAGCUCGGGAUCUAGCCUGGAACAUAAAUGUUUUUAAAAAAAAUUAUAAAAUAUAUAUUAUUUUAAAUAAUUAUAUUUAUUUGACUAAUCUAUUAUAGAUGUGUAAAGCUUUAAACAUUUAAAAUUCAUAUUUUUCAUGUCCAAUUUCAUUGAAAUAAAUUUAAAAAUUAUAAAAUUAUAAAAAAGUAUACAUAUAUAAUAUUAAGAAAUAUAAUCCGGCUAUAAAAACAAGGAUUAAACAACUUAGCCUGAGUGUCUAAAAAAUACAUAUGCGCUGGGUUCGGGCAUUACCAUACCUAGACCCAGACCCGGAAUUUGCCAACCCUAUCACCUAGGGCCCCAUAUUUUAGAAAGACUCCAUUUUUUUAUUAUGUCCCUUAUAAUAUUUUAAUUAAUAAAGAUUUUUUUAAGUUGCAUAUUGUAGGAAAGCCUAUUUUAGAUAUUUCUCUAAUUAAUAAUUAUCCUACAAUUAAGAAUUUUUUGGUAGAAAAUCUAUAUUUGAUAAUUUUAAUGUUAAAGAGAUAUAAAUAAUAAUAUUGUCUAACCAUUAAUUCAUUAAUAAUUAUUCUUUAAAAAAAUUAAAUUCCCAAAAUUAUCAGUUUCUUAAGAAUUAAUCUUUAACUUUUAAUUUUCCUUUAAAUUUCUAUUAAAAUCUUAAAAUCUCAAAAUUCAAUAAAUGAAAAAUUUUCUUACAUUAUUCGCCAACAAAAAAAAAUUAUAUUCACAAUCUCGCUUGAAAAAAAAAAUGGUUUCUUAAAAUACAAAGUCUAUAGCCAUCAUUUGAUCAUCAGUUAAUCAUCUCAACUUUUUAAGUGCUACUAUUAUUAUUUACCUAGAAUUAGUAUUAUUUUUAUUUAUUUAUUUUUAUAAUGAUAAUUUCUUUUGAGCUAUUUAAGUGCUAUCAUGAUAAAUAAUAUACGUGAAAUUAGUAUUAUUAUUUUUAUUUAUUCUAUAAUGAUAAUUAAUUUUGAGCUAUUUAUGUAUUUUAAGCCAAUGUUGAAAUUGUUGAAUGAAUUUAGGCAUCAUAAUAAAAAUUCAACGAAAGACUAAAUGUUCCAAUGUGAACUUCGGGCAUGUGUGUGUGUAGUAGUAGUAACUUUUUAGUCUGAAAUUUUAAAGUAAAAUGUACAUAUGUAUGUAUAUAUAUAUAUAUUAAUUAUGUAUGUAUGUAUGUAUGUAUGUACGUCCGUAUGUAUGUAUUGGAGCUUGUCUGACGGAAAUACAUAGAAAAUCAAGAAAAUGCCUGUUCCGAAAGAGUACAAGGAGAGAUGUAACCGGUUCAUGCACAUCCACCAAUUACUGAACAAUAUGAGGUCAUCAGGAAUCUGUGUGUAGGACCGUCGGAGUCAACUCAAGUGUAUUCAAAAGUCUUGCUUUUGCUUUUUAUUUUUAUUUUUAAUGAGCCAUCCAAUCCGAGUAAAUUCCUUCUUGGAAGAGGGGGACAUGUUGAAUAUUUUGCAGAAUAACUAAUGAUUCUAAAAAAUUUUCAAAAUUUUGCUUUAAAAAAAUACCGGUGAAAAUCUUCUAUAAAUUGACAAGACAUAAAACCAAAGAAGUUGAAGAUUCUAGAUUUCCUGUAGCAGGAUUGUGGGGGAGAAGGAAGGUGACUCGGAAGUGUAAAACAGAAAAAGCAGCAAAGGAAUCAUAUGGUGGCCAGGUGGUGCCUUAAACUUUCUUGGGUAACAAGUAACGCGUCCUUCUUACUUUUGUUUUAAAAGGUAGGGAAUAAAAAAAUUAUCCAUGAUAAGGAUGAUGGUUCGAUCUAAAAAUUCAUCACUCACAAAUUAAAGUUCGGAACGAAUUUAUGAGUUCGUAAAUUAAUUUUUACAAUAUUAUUUAUUGAUUUACGAUAUUAUAAAUCUGUCCUGAAUUUUAAGUCUGAAUAUAACAAAUAGUCUAUUCUAUCAUCAAACAAAAUUCCAAAUGCAUUUUUGAAUUCCCUUAUACAUUGUCUUUUUUUUUUUUAAAUACCAAAAAAAAAAAACUAAGCAGUGCCACCAAAAUUUUCAUGAAAAUUUAUCCUAAUUGCUUUCAAAGAUGUAAAAUCAUGGAUGAUGAUAACUCAUUUUUGUUAACCAAUCCUGUAAAACACUUUCUAAUAUUUUGAUUGUUAUCCCAACCAAACACGUGAAGUAAUUAACGACAACUCAAUCAACAUUAGUUUAAUUGCUAGGGUCGUUUUAUAAAGUCAUAAUUAAAAGCAUGGCAUCAAUACCAUAUCUAAAUAUGAAUUAUGUAAAUAGAACAUAAGACAUGUAAACUUAAUAUAAAAUUUGUGAAUCAAUAUUAAAUAUAAAAUAAAAAUUACGUAAAUGACGCAUAAGAAUUGCAAAUAAAAAGUAAAAUAAGUAAAUUAUCAUGGAAGUGGUAAAUUGAUGUAUCAAUGGUAAACAAAAUAAAUAUUUAUACAUAUAACAUAAAACUUGUAAAUCAACAAUAACUGUCAAAUAAAACAUAAAUUAAGUAAAUAAAACAUAAGACUUCUAAAUGGGAGAUAAAACGAGUAAAUUAGUGUAGGAAUGAUAAAUUGGCAAAUUGAUGUAUCAAUGGUAAACAAAAUAAAUUUUAUACAUAUAACAUAAAACUUGUAAAUCAACGAUAAGUGUCAAAUAAAACAUAAAUUAAGGAAAUAAAACAUAAGACUUUUAAAUGAGAGGUAAAACAAGUAAAUUAACAAAGAAAUGGUAAAUUGGCAUAUUAUUAGUAAACAAAACAAAAACUUAUAAAUAUCACAUAAAACUUAUAAAUUAACAUUAAUGUAAAAUAAAACAUAAAUUAUGUAAAGAAAAAAUAAUAUUUGAAAAUCAAGGGUAAAAUAAAUAAAUUAACAUAAGAGUAGUAAAUUAGUAUAUUAUUGGUAAACAAAAGAAAACUUAAUAAAUCAACAUUAAAUGUAAAAUAAAACACAAUUAUGUAAUUGGAACAUAAGAAUUCUAAAUGAAAGGUAAAAGAAGUAAAUUAACAUAAGAGUAGUAAAAUAAUAUAUUAUUUGUAAACUAAACAAAAACUUACAAAUAUAGCAUAAAACUUGUAAUCAAAUUAAGUAUAAAAUAUAACAUAAAUUAUGUAAAUUGAACAUAAGACUUAUAAAUGAAGGUAAAAUAAGUAAAUUAGCACAAGAAUGGUAAAUUGGUGUAUUAUUGGCAAAUAAAACAAAAGCUUAUAAGCAUAAUAUAAAAACUUGUAAAUCAACAAUAAGUGUAAAAUAAAAUAUCAAUUAAGUAAAUGAAACAUAAGACUUAUAAAUAGAAGGUAAAACAAGUAUAAUAUUAUAGGAGAGGUGAAUUAGAGUAUUAUUGGUAAACAAAAUAAAAAUUUACUAACAUAAUAUAACUUGUAAAUCAUCGUUAAGUGUGAAAUAAAAUAUAAAAUAUGUAAACAAAAUAUAAAACUUGUAAAUAAAAGAUAAAAUAAGUAAAUUAAUAUAAGAAUUAUUUAAAAAGAUGAAAACUUAUAAAUGUAAAAUAAAAACUCAUUAUAAUAAUUAUUACCUUGUAAAUUUUCUUAUUUUGUUUCUAAAUUGAUUAAUGAUAGUUUUGGGUGUAUGUAAUAGAUGUGAAAUUUGAAAAACUAUUUUUUCAUAUUUUCAAAGUUAUUCAUAAGAUAAGGUACUUCACAUCCUUUUAAAUCUUCUCGUCAACAAACCCAAAUGAUUUUUAUGUCUAAAUGAAAAGCAAGACUUAAAAUUACGGGAAAUACGUAUAGAACAUAAAAUUAUAUGCAAUUUUAUUGAUAUAUUAUAUACAUUUAGUAAUAUAAGAAUAACUUUUAAUUUUGUUUCAACUUGAUCCACAUAAAGAGAAAUAAUUUUACUUAAUUAACCUGUGUAGUAAACAACACUAUGAUAGAGAAAAAAGACGAAUGUCUAGAAUGAAAACAAAAUUUAUAGGUAAACAAAUUCAAUAAAACUUAUUCCAAUUCUUUUGGGCAUAAUGUGCCAUGUUUUAUAUUAUUUGUAGAAGUGUUUAUUUUGUUUGUAAAACACUAAUUUACUGCUCUUAUAGUAAUUUACUUGUUUUACCUUCAAUUUACUAAUCUUAUAUAUAAUUUACAAAAUUUAUGUUUAUACCAUAAUUUUAAUCACACCAUUAUAGAAUUUUCUUAAUUUUUCAUAUCAUGAGGACUUAAGUUAGGCAAUUUUGAAACUUUUGGUUUUAGAAUUCUUUUUACCAAAAAACAAAGACCCUAAAAAAUAUAAGGAUAAUGAUAUUUUCACCUCAUAAGUUUUGAAAAUAGGUGUAGGUAUUUUCAUCCCACUAUUUUUAUAAAUCCACCUCACCUCCAUAAAAUAAUUACAAUAAGUUCACAUUAUUUUAUAAAAUUAUAAAUUAAUUAUAAGUUUGAAAUUAAUUAAAUCAAUCUUAUAAUAUUCUUUUUCUUUUCUGACUUAAUCUUUUAACAAUUUUUAGCUAUUUAAGGUUGCUUUAACAUAAGUUCAAUUUGAUUAUUUUAUCCUUAUAGUAUGAAAUGACCAAAUUACUCUAAGAAAUAUAUAUACUAUUGAAACUAAUCUUUUAGGCAUUUAGUUUUAUGGUUUAUAAUCUAAUAUGUUUAAUAUAAAAUUUAAUAAUUUUCAAUACACCACAUGUACUACUUAUAUCUUGUUAAUUUAGAGGAAUAUUAGUAAUCAUGCUAAAAUUUUACUACUUAUACAUCAUUAAAAUAUAAAAAAAAAUUGUAUAAAAAUUAUUAAAGUUAAAGUAAAAUUUUAGAUAUUUUGGUACUUUUACAUUGUGAGUGUAAAAUAGUCAUAUCAAUUUGUGUUAAAGCAACCUUGCUGAUCAAAUAUAAUAAAGAAACAUAGUCUCCAAAAAAAAAAAUGAAUAUGAAUCUAAUCGAUUAAUUUUUUGAAAUUUCUUCUUAAUUUAAAUUUUUAAAAAAUAAUGUGAAUUUAUUAUAAUAAUUUUCUAAAAGUGGGUGAAUUUUGGGUUGGGAAUAUCAUCAUCCUUUGUAAACCCACUCCAUUUCUAAGAAAUAAUUACAAUAAGUUCACAUUAUUUUUUUAAAAAUUCAACUAAAGAAAAAGUUUAAAAAUUUAAUCAAAUAAAAUUAAAUACCUAAACUAUUAGAUAUAAGAGCUCAUGUUUUUUUUGGAACAAUUUGGUCAUUUUAUAUUAUAAAGUUAAAAUAGGUAAACAAAACUUAUCUUAAAGCAAACAUAAUAAUCAAAGAUACAUAUUUAAAAAAAUUAUAAGAAGGAUCUAAUUGAUUAAUUGUUUAAACUUUUUGUUAGUUUGUAUAUUCUAAAAAUAAUAUAAACUUGUUAUAAUUAUUUUUUGAAAUUGAGAUGAAUUUAUAAAAAUUAUAAGAUGAAAAUAUCCCCACCCAAAAUAUAAUAACAAUUCUUCAAUUUUUUAUUUUUUCUUUUGUUUUCGAUUUUUUUUUUAUUCUUUUAGUUCUUCUUUGAUUUAAUCCCAUAUGACCUACUUACUAUACUUGUGCCUUGUUGUACUGUUGAAUAACUAUGGUCCUUUUAAAUGCAAUUUAUUAUUAUUCUUCUGCAUUAUACAGAGAAGAACAAACUCGUCACUGGUUGACGGACCGUCAAACACGAUCCACAAAUUCUGUACACUCUCACUAUUGCCACUUAACGCCGUUGGGAAACAUCACUACAGCACUAUGCGUAGAAAUCAAGCCAGGCCACGGAGGUAGAAUGACGUGUUAAUGAUGACGUGGUAAUGCUUUCUGUUAAUUUAAGGGUGGCAAAGAAGAGUGAUGAUACAGUUAUAAAUAUUUGUAUAAAUUUAUCUUAUAUAAAUUGAUAUGGAAAUAAAUUAUUAGUUGAAUAAAAAUAUAAAAUAAUAGAAAUAAAUUAUGUGGGCUAAUAAAUAUUUAAUUCAAUCAAUGAAUUAAUAUCACAUCAGUUUAUACAAAAUAAAUUUGUAUAAAAAUUUAUUCCUAUAUCAUUACUCGGCAAAGUAUAAUUGAAUUAAAUCAUAAUCAAAUUAGAUUAAAGUUUCAUGUAUAGAAAUUCCAUUUAUUUAUUAAAUGAAAUAUUAAGAUUUGAUUAAUUUAUCAAACAAAUAUUUAUUAAUUUAUUUGCUGUAUAAAAUUAAAUGAAUUGAAUUUGAAUUCGUUUAAUGACAAUUCAAUCGAAAGUUAGAUGCAUUUAUAAUUUGUUUCUAAAAAUAAUAAUUAAUAAACAAAAUUAAGUUCUAAAAAUAAUAAUUAAUAAAAAAAAUUAAGUAAAAUAUUAUAAAAAAUAACAUACUAUCAAUUACAAACGAAUCCUAAAGGAAUAAAUAAAAUAGUAAUUUCAUAGUUAGUUUAAAUUUAUUUAUUUAACAAAUUAAAUAGAAUUCACUUAUUCAUUAAAUGAAUUAAAUUUUUAAAAUUUAAAUUUAAUUAAUUUAAAUCAAAUUGAAUAAAUGAAUUCUUAAUUAAAUUAUCACAAAUUUAUGUUACAAUUAUAUAUAUUAAUAAUUUUUUUAUCUGAAAUCCUAAAAUAUGAGAAAAGUCCAAGAAAAUUUUUAAAAUUGUAGAAUUUAUAAACUUAAAGGGAUUAAAAUUUAUUCCACAUUUCAUAUAUAUAUAUCAACCUUUCAUGUCUGCUAUCCUACUGUCACUCGUCUAAAUCUCAUUUUCAAACAGUAUUACUACACGCUGAUUGUUCGCAGACGAAAUUGAUACAGAUAUAGUUCUUAAACUCUGUUUCUUGUGUGUGUGAAUCAGAAAUGGGCAGUCUCACGGGCAUCGGAUUCCGGCCGUUGGAUGAAGAAAUCAUUGAUCUCCUGAAGAAGAAGAGGCUUGACCCUGGUUCCUCUGUCCAAACGAUCAAGGAAAUUGAUUUUUACAGCUUUGACCCUUGGGAGCUACCCGGUAAGUAUCACGCCCAACAAGCACUAAACGAUGUUAUUGGAAUUAGUUCAGUAGCUAAAAUUCAGAACUAAUAUAUUGGGUUAAUGAAUUUUUGUCAUGCAGGGCUUUCUGAGAUUCAGUCUACGGAAGAUGUGUGGUACUUUUUCUGUAAGCCUAAGUACAAAGGUGCCAAGCGGAAACGGUCAGGGCAACAGCGACAUAGAAAAACGAAGUCAGGAACGUGGAAAAUGACUGGCGGUGGUUCUGAGAUGAAGCGGAAAAACAGUACUGAGGUGAUUGGUGACAAAGACUAUCUUGUUUUUAUCCACGACGAUGCUGCGUCCGAGAAAGCUAACACUAAGUGGCUUAUGCACGAGAUAGCUAUUGCGGAUGACCCUCUUUAUAAGGUACGAGCUUUGUUUAGAAUGAAUUGGGCAUGUUUUGCAAAUACUAGAAACGUUCCAAUUUAGGAUCUUGGAUUUGUUAAAGUUCGGAAAAAUAGUUUAGUGACAUGUUUUGGACAUGUUUUAGACAUGUUUUGCCAUAUAGUUUAAUAGUGUAACGGCUGGAAACACUAUUAAGCUAUGUGGUUUAAUAGUUUAGUGGAAACAUCAUUCAGAAUACAAUAGACAAUAAUGUGAACUUAUUCUAUUUCCACUUUUUAUUCGUGUAGGAAAACUUUGUUGUGUGUCGCCUAGAAGGAAGAAAUUGGGAUAAAAAGCUUGGUGUUUCAACUACGGAUAAACAUCAAUCAAGUCAAGAUUUUGCUUCUAGUUCUAGCAUCAAUGUUGUAGAAGAUAUUUCUCUAGAAUCUGCUCAACCACCAGAUCGAUAUUUGGUUUCUAAAACAAAUCAAGUUGUAGAAAAUAUAUUCUUGAAGACUCAGCUACCACCGAGUGAGAAUUUGUUUUCUUGUAAUGAAGACUCAGCUACUACUAGUUUGGAUUCGGGAUUAUCACCACGUGUCUGUUUAAUUCCUUAUUCUGGAAAUCAUGUUGCAGAAAAUACUUCUACAGGAUUGCAGCUAGUACCACAUGACGUUUUGGAGUCACUGAGACUACCAGAUGAGAAAUGGGCUACUUAUUCUGUUGAUGUUGUAGAAAAUUCUUUCGAGGCAGAACCUCGAAUUCCUGUAGAAUUCAAUACACAUGGUGGCUUUAAUGGGCUGAAUAAUGACUCUUUCCUGGCAUUGCAGUCACCAACUUAUCUGGAGCAGGAAUCGUCGUAUUCUAAUGGUCCUAGUUUUGGUUGUGAUUUAUUGAAUUAUCAAAUUGACAGUGGACAGGUAGUUACUUUCUCUGAGUCGCAGCAACUACCAAACCACUUGAUUUCUUGUUUUGGAAAUCAUGUUGCAGAAAAUACUUAUACUGGAUUGCAGCUAGUACCACAUAACGUUUUGGAGUCAUUGAGACUACCAGAUGAGCAAUGGGCUACUUAUUCUGUUGAUGUUGUAGAAAAUUCUUUCGAGGUAGAACCUCGAAUUCCUGCAGAAUUCAAUACACAUGGUGGCUUUAAUGGACUGAAUAAUGACUCUUUCCUGGCAUUGCAGUCACCAACUUAUCUGGAACAGGAAUCGUCAUAUUCUAAUGGUCCUAGUUUUGGUUGUGAUUUAUUGAAUUCUCAAAUUGACAGUGGACAGGUAAUUGCUUUCUCUGAGUCGCAGCAGCUACCAAACCACUUGAUUUCUUGUUUUCGAAAUCAUGUUGCAGAAAAUACUUAUACAGGAUUGCAGCUAGUACCACACGACGUUUUGGAGUCACUGAGACUACCAGAUGAGCAAUGGGCUACUUAUUCUGUUGAUGUUGUAGAAAAUUCUUUCGAGGCAGAACCUCGAAUUCCUGCAGAAUUCAAUACACAUGGUGGCUUUAAUGGACUGAAUAAUGACUCUUUCCUGGCAUUGCAGUCAUCAACUUAUCUGGAACAGGAAUUGUCAUAUUCUAAUGGUCCUAGUUUUGGUUGUGAUUUAUUGAAUUCUCAAAUUGACAGUGGACGGGUAAUUGCUUUCUCUGAGUCGCAGCAACUACCAAACCACUUGAUUUCUUGUUCUGGAAAUUAUGUUGCAGAAAAUUCUUCUACAGGAUUGCAGCAAGUACCACAUGGCAUUUUGGAGUCACAGAUAUUACCAAAUCAGUAUUGGGCUGCUUAUUCAACUAAUGCUAUUGGAAAUUCUUUCGAGGCAGAACCUCAACUAGUUGCAGAGGUCAAUACACAAGGUGGCUAUAAUGGGUUGAAUAAUGCUUCUUUGUCGGCACUGCAGUCACCAAUUUACCCUGAAGAGGAAUGAUCGCAUUCUAAUUGUCCUAGUUAUGGCUGUGAUUUUUUGAAUUCUCAAUUUGACGGUGAGCAGGUAGAUGAGCUGAUCAAAUGACGAAGGGCUUUUCAGAAUGAACACUCUCGUGAAGAAACUGGACAAACCACUCCUGACUUCAAUUCAUCAAAGUUGGAUGGAGGAGCUUACGAGGUAGAUAGCAGUGACAUAGACACUGAAACCGUCAAUGCAUGAUACUCUUUGGUUCUGUUAGUAACUAUCAAAUCCUCUAGGUGGAUAUUAUAUUACUUUAAUAGUUUCGUAAUAAUGUUUCACUCUUGGUUUGUUGUACUCCAAACUUUGCAACCAUGGUUACAUACUUUGUAAGUCGAUUAUUUAGAGCACUUGGAUGUUCAAGUUGCUCUCUCUAUGUGCAACAGUAUGGCCAAGCUGUGGAAAAGUUCAGCUUGUUAAAUGGGAAUGCUUAUUCAAAACAAUAGAGGUGAGUGAUGCAUGACAGGCCUUAUGGAAGAUCAUCCACUGAUGAUUUUUGCGGCUAGCAAGAGGAGAUGCUAAGCAUACUAUUGUCUGAAGGAGAGCCCCAAUGCUGAGUUUGCCUUAGACCAGAAAAGUGCUCUGGAACUUCCAUUGUCAUUAUGUAUUUGUAAGUUUUGUGUUUGGUGUAUUUCUUUAAUGAUUGUAUCUAGCUGGAAAAUUGAUGUUAUCAUCAUGUCAUGAUACAGAAGGAUUGUUGAAAAUAUAAAGCAUAUGUCAAUGGGUGGAGAUGAUCUGUAACCUGAUACAUGAGAUAAUGCAAAUUACCAAAAAUCUAAAAGCUUUUCAAUUUGAGUGUCAUGAUUGAUCAUCGUUUCAGUGCCUCGUAUGGAAGGCAUGCCAUUUUGUUGAUAGCCCUUUUGUUUGGUGAGUCUCCGAGUUUAAUUAAUUUCACCAGCUAGUUAGUUAAAAUUUUUUUUUUUUUUUUUUUUUUUUAAUUUUAUUCUCUCGAUAUCACUAGAUCUAAUAAUCUAAGUCCAGGCAUAAUAUGUUUUUCACUUAUUACUUGCAAACUAUAUAAAACAUAUUGGGAACAUAAGAUUAAACGUAUAGUCCUGCCCAUAAAGAAAUUUACUGAUUGAGAGAACAACUGAAAAAGAAAAGAAAAAGGGGAACACCAAGAUAAUUGCCUAGGUUAUCAGUCAUAGAGUUAACAAACACACUUAUAAGGGUGCCCUUGAUAAAGUCCAACAGCGCCUCACUGGGUGGAAUGCCCUUCAUCUUUUUCUUCUUUCUUUGGCUGGAAGAGUCACACUUGCGCAGUCAGUUAUUCAAUCCAUUCCGAUUUACACAAUGCAGACUACAAGACUUCCCUCCACACUUCAUAACCAAAUCGAUCAGUGUCGUCGUCGUUUUAUUUGGAGCGGAAAUGAUGAGAUGAAGAAGAUGAGUAUGGUUAAAUGGGACAAUGUGUGCAAGCCUAAGACUUGGGGAGGCUUGGGCCUUAAAAGAAUUGAUGCUAUGAACAAUGCUUUGCUUAUUAAAAUUGGUUGGAGUUUAAUCACCUCAUCAGACAGCCUGUGGGUCAAGGUUUUACGGUCGAAAUAUGGCAUUGAAGAUCCGGCAGUGCCACAAUCCUUGAACACCAAAUCUGGAUCCUAUAUGUGGAAAGCUAUUGGAAUUAUUUGGGAUAAAGUUUUGCAGGGGAUUAGAUGGAACCUUGGGGACGGCAGAAAAGUAAAAUUUUGGUGGGACUGUUGGGCUCUUAAGGACAAGCCUUUGAUUUUUUACGCUCAGCAACCCCUUCCGGAGGAGUUAAUCAAUAGCACGGUUUCGGAUUGUGUUAAUGGCGAUGGCGAUGGCUCUUGGAACUGGGGUAUUUUUGCUAAUUUGCUCCCAGAUAAUGUGAUCCUUAGAAUUGCACCUAUCAAACCCCCUUUAAAUAGUGGUGGCAAGGAUGAGAUUAGAUGGGCACAUUCUAAAACAGGGCUUUUCAAAGUCAAAUCAGCUUAUCUUUAUUUAAUUAAACAACAAUCCGCUCUUGAUGAUCCUGGUUGGAAGAUUAUUUGGAAGUGGCAAGGUCCACAAAGAAUUAAAAUGUUUUUGUGGCUUGCUGUCCAAAAUAAGCUAAAGACUAAAGCAGAACUUGCUAGACGCCACAUUCCAAUAAAUUCAAAUUGUGAUAUAUGUGGUCACCAUCUGGAAGAUACCCUUCAUGUGCUAAGGGACUGUUCGAUGGCAACUAGAAUUUGGAGAUCCUUAUUAUCCAAUGAGAAUACGGUCAGUUUCUUUUCUCUUAAUCUUCAUGAUUGGAUUCUCUGCAACCUUAGAAAUACUUGGAAUUUUAAGGUUAAUAAUGACUGGCCAUGUACUUUUGGUGUGAUGCUUUGGCAAUUAUGGAAUUGGUGAAAUAAGGUAAUAUUCUCUAAUUCUACAAGUUGUUGUCGAAGUCUGAUCCACGAUGUCUCUAUUCGAGUUGCGGAAAUACAACGAGUUUACUUGGCAAUCAAACCAGCUGGUGUUGCUCGAAUUGACAAGCAGAUUAGCUGGAGCCCCCCUGCACCACCUGCGUUUAAACUCAAAACGGAUGGAUCUUGUAAAAGCUCUGAACUGGCGGGAGCUGGGGGGUUGAUCAGAGACGCUCGGGGUCGGUGGUGUGGUGGUUUCUGUAUGAAUAUAGGGAUGUGUUCUAUCACUCUUGCUGAACUGUGGGGCUUAUAUCAAGGCUUACUUCUUGCUUGGAGAAAUGGGGUUAGAAAUCUAGAAGCGGAAGUUGAUAGCUUAUGUGUAACCCAGCUUGUCUCCAAUAAAAGGGUCGCUCCUAAUGAUUCUGGUCCAAUUUUACUAGCCAUUAAAGAAAUCCUGACUCGUGAUUGGAAUGUUAGCCGUCACCAUGUGUAUAGAGAGGCCAAUUACUCUGCUGACUUCCUUGCAAAUUUGGCUACCUCUCUCCCCUUGGGCCUUCAUGUGCAGGAUUUGCCCCCUGUUGGUUUAAAUUACUGGUUGCUUCAUGACAUGUAUAGGGGUUGCUAAGUGCUCCUCUUGUACCAAAAAAAAAAAAAAAAAAAAAAAAAAAAAGAAAGAAAAAAAUCCAUUUCUGAUACAAAAUUUCUGGUGAAAGAAACAAUCAUAAUUCAUCAAUGACACAGUCUGUGCAGUUAGUUCAUAAGCUGCAAAAUAAUACAAAAAUGUUAGCGAAGCGGCUCAUUGUGGUUUUGAAGCUUGAAUAAUUUUCACACAUGGAGAAGCAAAAUAAGAAAUGCUCAUCGAUUUUUAUAGUCAUAAAGACAAAUGUAAUACAUAGCAAUUCGCCUUAUAUCUGACACCUAAUGAAACAUAUGCCGCAAAAAACGCGAUUUUAAACUUAACAAUUCAUGAAAGCCAAUUCCCUUAAUUAAUCUCACAUUUCAAAGUUGUAACCAAGAUUUACUAGCCUGCAUCUGAUUUCACUUUUCAGUAACUUUCCAUUUUAUUCCUUUUUAACCUUAGCUACAUACUUUAUUUAUACUUUUUUUUUUCAUAUCAUCGGAAUCCUUGCCGCCAAAGCUAUGCAGCAAUAUGACUAUCGCCACCAAUAAGACUUUCUUUUUCCUUUAGUUUACAAUAAAAAAUUUAAAUUUUAAAACUUUUAGCUGUAAAUCCACAGUAAAAUUUUAAUAGUAUAAUAAUUGAAUUCAAAAGAUGUUGGAAUACCACGGCCGCCGGUGGUUAGGUUCACCGUGGCCAGCAACAAGAUAAUUUAUAUAAUUAAUUUAAUCUAACUAAAAAUAAAAAAAUGAAAUAUUAAUUAGUUUAAAUAAUACUAAUUUAGUAUAAACUGAUAAUAUAAAAUAUUAUUUACAUAAUAUAGUCUUUGUUACACUCCGUCACAGCAACACGCAAUUGAAUAUUAUGUAAUGCAAUGUGUCAAAAGCCCAGGGAAUUUAUGGUCAAUGGUAGUCAGCCAAUAAAACCCGCCAAAAAGAAAAAAAAAAAACUCGUUUAAAAAGCAACCACUUUUUGAAAAAGAAAAAUAAAGCACGCAUAAUCGUUACAGUACGUUUCCCCGGCCCCCCCCCCCCCCCCCCCCAAAAAAAAGUAAAAACAAUUCCUGGGAUCCAAACGGCGCCGUCCAAAGCCUCUUUAGCUAACUCUAAAAAGCGGGGGCUCUCUGCGGUUUGGUCAUUUACAAAAUCUUCAAGCGCAUAGCCGACGACGACGCCGUUUUGAACUCGGAGACCUCUGAUUGUACUGUUACACUCUUAGUUGCCAAUAGGUAACAUUUUCAGCCAUUUGUUUGUUUGAUUUACCGAUAACUGUAAAGUAAAAUUGAAUAAAAUUUUUAACGACCAUGGUAUUUUUUGUUCUUUUUAUUUUGUGAUCGCGAAUAUGCAGUAAAGCUAAUUAAUUACUGAAUUUAAGUUUACUUGUUAGAAAUGUUGACUUGUUUGGUUGCUGAGAAACUGUGGGCAGAGAAAUGAAAGCCUAAAAGAGUAGAGCGGUAGUUGAAUUCUAUUUAUGAUUGUAAUUUAUUUUACUUCGCAACAAACAAUGAAAUUUUAUCUGGGUUGUAGUUUUUGAUCUUAUUGUUAAGUCUUUUUUUUUUUUUUUUAAAUUAUAUGUAACAAUUUUGUAGGCUUGAAGAGCUUUAUGGAGGAACAGAUAUGUGGGCCUUAGCAUUCCUGAUCCUGAAACACGUUCGCUGCAGAAUAUUCAUAUAUUUCUUGUUAAAAAUGGGUAAAUGUUUUAUUUUUAUUCUUCAUCGAAAGAGUGCAAUUUUUCCUCUGUCUUCUCUGGGUUCAUGUAGAGUGACUGCAGUUGCAGAUUAAGAUAUAGAUUUAGGGGCACUACUACUUUUUAUUUAGUUAUAAUGGUACACAAUUCUUUCUCUGACUUCUCUUAUCGACUUGUUAAUUAGUUUUUACAGGUAGCUUACGAGGUCAUGGGUUCUAAUCAUUCUGACAUUGUGUUUGUGUUUUAUGUUCAUGGGUUUAGGUUGUUUUGCUUUCUGGCCAACUUAACAGAAAUAUCUAAACCACAUAGGGCUAAUCAUAAUUUUAGUUCUUAUUCUCUGUUCUUUCAACACCCUCGUUAAUUGUGAAUUUGUGAUAGAUGGUCAUAUGUACGUGAUAACAGCAAAGUAUGUAAUUACAGGGAGGCAGUGGUGAUAUCUGUCAAGAAUUUUUCAGGACUUGUAUCAAUCAAUAAUAAUGGCAGCUGGCUUUGCAUGGGUGAAGCAGUUCACCUUAAUCCGGUUAGUCAUAGUUAAAACUGGCUGUUUUUUUAUUAACGAUUAAGCAUUGCUUCUAGGAUGUUUUUUGCCAACAGUUUCCAUGAAAUUCAACUACUGACUAAAAAAUCUUUUAUCCAACUUAAUGGAUAUUUCCAAAGUCCGGUUUUUCCGUGAAAUGUGUUAGGUAAUAAACAUGGGACCAAGCUGUCAUAUUUAGUUGAUAGCUAUUAAUGGUCUAAAUGAAUUACUUUUGUCCUUGCACAGGUUAUAUGACUUUUAACUAAGUGGUUCCUAAUGUUUUUAUCUAUAGCAAGUAAGGUUUCUUUCUAUAAUAACGAUCCUGUGGUAUGGAAGACCUUCAUGGGACGCCAUUGUUUUUCAUGAUUUCACACGAUUUUUUGCAGCUUUUCAAAGAUAUUGCCUCUGUUUAAUCUUUGCAGUUUUAUGUAAAAGUGAGAAAUAAAUAAUUAAGAAAAGAAAUAUAUCCUGAUUGCUUAUUUCAAUAAUUCGAGUUUCAGUUGUUUCCUUAAAUUUCUCUGUUUCAGGUGGAGGAAGUUAAAAAAUAAGCUUUAAUUCUUUAGUCAUCUCUCGAACACAGGGGAAUUCCUGCAGGAGAAAGAUGUUUAUCCUGCAAAGUGAUACUUCCUAAUCCAAGAUUACGGUGUGUGUUAACAUCUUUAUAUUGUUCCUACGCAUGUUAUGUCAUUUAUUUUUGAAGUCAUAAAUUCAUAUCUGUUUAGCAUAUAAUUAGUGCUUCUAUGAUUUGGGCACGAUGUGCCAUGUUUGGCGGCAAUAUUUGAGGACUGAUUUUUUGGGGUUAGAAAUUUUCUUAAUGAUUCAGUUGACCUAGGGGAUUACUACCCUUUGUUUAAGCAUAUAUAUCUUGUGAUGAGGAUGCCUUUCAUUUCAUUCCUAGCUUCUCAUUUUCAAAUAUUGUGAUUGCAGUUAGAAAGAUAUGAAUGAUAUUGUCUAUGACAGUUGCAAUAAUUUUUGAGAAAUUGAAGCAUUAAUUUGGAAUCUAAUUCACUAGAUGUGCUGCAAAAUGUAUUAAUACGGUGUUAAAGUAGUUGGUGAUAGUCUUCUUAUGGAACUUAUAAUUUUAUUUCAUAUUUUUGGGUUGUAGCCCCAUUUCUUUAAACCUGCCAGGGGUCAUUUCCUAUGACGAAUUGACACAACUGAAGCCAGAUCAUCCCAAACUCAAUUUUAUUCUUUGGACAGCUCCAAUGUGGGACAGUUAAGCUUCCAUUUGUGCCUCAAAAACUCCAAAGCUCAUUUAAUUUGUCCCCAUGUAUUAUUGCGUUUUGUCUGUUUGCAUUUUGUAAAACCGUUUGGAAGAUGCUGUGAGUACCAUAUGAGACAUCUAAACUGACUAGACAACUAAACUUGCAAGUCGCAACACUGUUGAAUCUCCUGCAUAAGAUUUAUUAUUGUGGUAACUUCAUCUGUGAAUAAGAAUGGUGAUUAGCAAGGAUUGUAGGUGGUUAUGAAGAAAAAAAUGCAUAACUAUUUUUGAAGCUGCUAAUUGAAGAUACAAUAAAGACAGUUUUAAAUAGAAGUUUUUUUAAUUUUUGUUCUUGGGGAGACUGCUAUUAUAGUAUUAUGAAACCACUUCAGCAAGUAUGCAAGGUCCCAAUAGGAAGUAGUAUUUGAGGUCUAACGUGUCCAUUCACGUGUACCAUGGAUCCUUUGAAAUCCAGAUGAAAUCAAGAUAUAGCCAUGUGGAUCCUUAUCUAAUAAUAAUAAAAAGUCAAUGAAAUUAAUGGAGACAAAAGUGCAUACAACGUUGGGGUAUGAAAACUAAACCUUAGCUUUGGUACUAUGUUAAAAGAGUGCUUAACCCAAAAGCUUAAGCAAAGUAAGUGGCCAAUAUCAGUAUUAAAAGUCUAACAAUGAUAUUGCUCUAAAACUGGUUCACAAUUGGUGUCCAAUUGUGGAACUAGCGCUGGCAUUAGAAACACAGAUCGAGGCAUGGGUUUAUGAAAAUGUAGGCUUCCGGGAUAUAGCUUUUUGAGAUAGCUGCUGUUUGGAAAAUCUUUUUUUUUUGGGGGGGGGGGGGGGGGGGGGGGAAUUUUUCAUUCUGCAUUUGUAUUUAAAAGAGGCCCUAUAUUGCAAAAUUUGAGUAAUUUAUUCUUGUACUUCUGAGAUUGUUAUGCAGGUUGUUCAACAAAUCAUAAAUCUAUGUUCUUUUCCUUUUUUCAUUUCCUUUUUAUAUCAUAUUGAUUUAUGACCUCUACUUUAGAAUUAAAUGACAAAAGUUAUUAUGUUUGGUGAACUAGGCAAUUUAUAAUCGCUUUUCUGUGGUAAAAGCUUCUUGCCCCUUUUAAAUUGGGCGUGUUAUCUGUUCCAUUGUUAAUUGCUCGAGCAUUCUGCAUUCCCCAAGCUUAGCUUCUUGAUGGCACCUUAUGCCUCUACCUACCUCAUGUCAAGAAACUUCAGGUUUACCUCAUGUCAAGAAACUUCAGAUAAAGUUGGAAUUGAUUGGUUUAAGUACCAUGUCCAAGUCAUUGGGUUAAUCUUGGUCUUCCGCUUAUGUUGGCCUUCCGAUUGUCCCAUUAGUCCAAGUUCUUAGCCAUAUAUGUGAUGAUGUUCUCAGAUGAUUGAUUAAGGUUGUCAUUUGGAAAGAAAACAUGAAAGUUCUCUUUUCUAGUUUUUUGGAGGUUACAGCUUGAAGGUAACACAUUUGUCUUGGGUGAAUUUCUGGAAUUUCAAGGGGAUCAGGAACAUACUUCAGUUUUGAGUUGUAUUGAAAGAUUGGACGUUAGUUGCUUGUUCAUCCUAGUGCUGAGUAUGUUUGGAUCUUCUAUUCUCUCUAGCAUGUAUGGCAUUCUUUUUUUUUCUGAUUGCUUUGUUCGACUACUAAAAUGUAAGCUUGUAGGUGGUUAGGUAUUGGGAGUUUGGGCAUUUAAUCCAUAAGAGUAUAUAUUCUUAUAAAUUAUGAGCUUGUAUGUUUAACUAUUUGGCCAUAUUUUGGCUGCCCUUGAGCUUGAGUAAGUAUAAUCUUUGUAUGCUAUUACUUUUAUGUAAAACAGAAGUUCUUAACCGAAUUUCUGUGUAGAGUUUUUAUUGUAUUUUGUAUGAUGUCAUUACCAUCAUAGGGGUCUUUAAUUGGUCAUGUUUGUGCAUUGUUCAUUUUAACAUUUUAAAAUUACAUUCCUUAUUGUAAAAUGCAAAAAUAAUAAUUGUACCGAUCAUUUGUUACAAGUGUUGUUAAAUGCUUGUAAAUAUUGUGUUCAUAUGUCCAUCUAGUGGGUGAGAAGUAGAGAGAAGUGAGAGAAAAUGUGAAUAGGAAGAACUACUUUAAAGGUAGUCUUUAAGUUCAUAGUUUACUUGUAAUGAUUAUUGACAUUGCUGUGGAUUUGGCACCGGAGCAGGCUUGGGAUUCUCUUUCACUAAAAAGUGAUUCGCUGCCAUGUUAUUAUUAUGCUUUUGUAAAGUGCUUGUAAAUAAUAUAUAUAUAUAAAUAACUGAUACUUGUAUCUUGUCUUUUUGAUCUUCUGAUAAUCCAUUAUCAAACUGUUUAUGACAAUUUGAAGCCCCUUCCACGCUCAAUGUUCCGUACUCUCAUCGUGACUUUUGAGAACAAGGAGCCUCAGCUGCUGAGUGGAAGAGGCUAACUCUAAGAUCAAAUAUUGAAAUUUUGUUUCAGCCAGAAAGCUCUUAUCAAAAUCUACAAAUUCAAGCUCUCUUCAAUGGUCUCUCUGGCACUGAGUGCUUAAAGAUACCCAUGCUGAAUGUUAAUCAUUAGUUAGGUGUUUCUGCCGUUUAUGGAAUCUGGUUAGCCGCUUUUAUGUUAUCGUUAUAGCAAAAAUUUGAAUUUCAGAAUAUCCGGCAUGCCGCUUUUCAUAUCUGGAUAGCCGUUUUUGAAAUCCGGAUAACCACUUUUGAAAUUCAGAUAUCCGUUUAUGUUCCAGAAGCUUACUGCCCAAAAUUCGGUCUUUCGCUUGUCAAAUCCGGUUAGCCACUUGCUACAGUAACUGCUACAAUAAAUUAUUUUCUAAAAUUACAGUUUGACCUCAAAAUUUUAUAAAACUGUAUUAUGGUCUAAAACGUUAUAAAUUUUGCAUAUAUGUCUAAUUUCAGAAUCUCUAAAUAAUGCUUGCUAUUCCUUAAACUUUAUGAAAUUAUGAUAUGGCCUAAAAUGCUAUGAAACUUUUCAAAUAAGUCAUUCUCCAAAAUUUCAAGCAAUACUUAUUGAUUUCAAAGUUUUCAAAACUAUUUCAAUUAAACCAUAAACUUGAAAAACAACUAAUUUCAUAAAAUUAUUUUUCUAUUAAAUAUAAAACUUUUAUAAUGUGAAAAUAAUGAUUUAUUUAAAAUGUAUAAAAAAAUAAUUUGAACUUAAAAGAUUAAUAAUUCUUAAUCUUGUUUGUUAUCAUCAAAAUUAACAUUAUGGAAACAUAUAUGUUAACAGAUAUUUCUAUUCAUAUGCUUGUUUAUGUUGAUGACUUAAUUAUUGCGGGGAAUAAUACUACUGCUAUUUAUGCUUUUAAAGCCUAUUUAAGCCGUUGUUUUCACAUGAAGGAUUUGGGUUUUCUUAAGUAUUUUCUAGGCAUCGAGAUCUCCCGAGGACCUAUUGGCUUGUUCUUAUAUCAGCGUAAAUACACGCUGGAUAUUUUGGCUGAAAUCGAUCUUCUUGGUGCAAAACUAGCUCAAUCUCCUAUUGACCAAAAUCACUGUGUUGCUCUUGAUGAUGGCACUUUGUAUUCUGAUCUCGAGCGGUAUCGCAGGUUCAUUGGUCGCAUAAUUUAUUUGACUAUUACUCGUCUCGAGCUUUGUUAUUCAGUUCAUGUUCUGGCUCAAUUUAUGCAAUGUCCUCGAGAGAUUCAUUGGGAGGCUGCUAUUCGUGUCAUGCAUUAUCUAAAAGGUCAUCUAGGUCGAGGUAUUUUCUUACGACAGGACAAUGCACUUCAACUUAUUGCCUAUUGUGACUUAGAUUGGGGUUUUUGAAGGUAUUGAUUCCACUGCGAUUGCUGCUUCAUCUUGUCCUCUUACAUAUCAUUCUCUAAAUGGUUAUUUCAUUUUUCUGGGUAGUUCUCCUAUUUCUUGGAAGACAAAGAAACAACAUAUUGUCUCUCGUUCUUCGGCUGAAGUAGAAUAUCAGUCUAUGGCCUUCACUAGUUGUGAAUUAACUUUGCUAAAAGCUUUGUGAAAGUCCCUUGAUGUUUCGCAUUCUCUACCAAUGUGUUUUUAUUGUGAUAGUCAGAUUGUGCUUCAUAUUACCGCCAAUCCUGUUUUUCAUGAGCGCACUAAGCACAUUGAGAUUGAUUGUCACUAUGUGUGGGAUCAAAUCCAUGCUGGUAAUAUUGCUGCUUCUCAUGUUUGUACUUCUGAGCAACUUACAGACAUUUUCACAAAGGCACUUGGUCGACACCAGUUUGAAAAUAUCCUUUGCAAGUUGGCGUUCGUGAUCAUCAUGCUCCAACUUGAGGGGGAGUAUUGGGCACGUGUGCUGUAAAUGUUGUAACAUAUUCCAUAUCUUUGUAUAUUUGGUAGCUUUUGUAUUUCAUUAGGAAUGCUAUUAGAUAACGAUAGAAGGAGCAUAUUUAAGAGAUUAUUUAAAAGAAUUGUUAGCUGACUUUCAUAUUGGUGUAGCUAUAUAUGUGAAUAGCCGUGUGAUAUGCAAUAAUACAUACAAAUUUCUUCUCCUCUCAUAAACGUUCUUAUCUCAUAAUAAAACAUAGAGGAGGAGAAGAUGGGUUCACUAAAAGAUAGAUUCAAAGUGCCUACAAGAAGUCAAAGCCUAAUUUUUUCAGAAACAAGGCCUUCAACCUAAUGAGGAGAGUAAGCGAAACACGAAGUAAGAUGAAAGAAAGAGAGAGGAAUCGAUUUUGUAUAAGAAAAGUCAUCUAGCCAAGGGUUAGCCAAGUGUAAGGGGGAGAUCAUCCCUCACUCAAAUGGGUUUUAAUCUAACGGCAAUGAGACAAUGACCACUGAAAAAAGGGGUUAGAAGAACAUGAAAGGGCGAGAAAAAAAUUUGGACCGUUUAUGAAAUGCAAGGGCCAAAAAUCCACUGCUUGUCAAUAGCCAAAGGGAGGAUAGCUAGAGGCAACAAUGCAUGCAGUGGAGGGACGUAAUAGGAUGUACCACAUAGGUUAAUUAUCAGAACAUUUAAAAACCACUAAUCCAUUCUCAAGUUUUAAUGAAAGGACCACGUAAGGCCAUGUUGUUGAGUUGGGGAAGUGGGAGAAAAUUUUCAGUGGCAUCCCUCAAGUGUAUCAGUUUUCGUUAUUGCCUUGCUGCAAAAUAUCAACCAGUCCCUCUAUCUUACUUCAUAUUUAGGACCUUAAAAAAGCGCUACUGCAGGUCAGCUCUUUGCUGACAUGGACUAACAACUUAAUGACACCUGACAAAGAAAGUCAACCAACAUGAAAUUGAUUCAUUUGACUAAAUGGCAGGAUAAGCUCAUUGGAAAAAAGAUAGUUUCGUUAAAUAUGCUAAACACCAAGGAGUAUUAUCGGAACCCAAAAUUGGUGGUUAAAGCCAACACGUGAACACUACAUUCCAUAAUGAAAAAGAGUAAAAUAACUCUUUUUUGGGCUAAAAAGAAAGAGCCAAUGAAAGUAGAGAUUCUUAAGCAAAGUAAUAAGAGAGAGCCACGUCAGUCAUCCUUUGUUGCACCCUAAAAAGUAAGACCAUAAUGUUGAAAGCUCACCAUGUGACCAACUAUGAAGGCAAAAAAGAGUCUGAUGGUUUUCUGACUUUUCAAGCUCACGAAUGUCAAUAUCAAAGGACAAAAAAAAACUAAAAUACUAAGAUAACCUCACUUGAGGGAGGUCACACAAUAAAUAUCAGCCACAUGCCUAAAUGGACCAAAAUGACUCUCAGGUACACUCUAAUAUAAAGCUCAAGCGUUUCUUUAAAAUGGCAACUUCUUCCUUACUAAAAGAUAGACUUGUAUUUUUCAACUAAAAAGCUAAUGCUAUUGUCAAGCGUUAAAUGUUCUUUGGAUUUUAAGGCCGCCAUAUUAUCUUUCCAAAAUCUUACUUGAGCAUCAGAGUGUGGUCAUGGGUCACUGUCGGCUCCACCUCUAGUCUUAACUUGUUCGAUUUUAAAGUUUAACAAAGCACAAAGGCUUAUGGUUUCAUCUUCAUUUUCAUUCGUUUUUUAUCACAUUCUUAUAUAGCCAACUCACCCAGUCAUUCUCCAACCUCUUGCAAGAGUACAUCUUGAGCUUAGGAAGGCAGCAAUAUUCCUUUUUAAAAAAAUUUAUUUGUUUUAAAUUAGAUCCACUAGAAUUUGGUUAAAAUUUAUAGUAUUGCAAAUUUAUAGUCCUUUUUUUCUUUAAGACAUUAAUGAUUUGUUCUUAUUCUGUUCUUGGGGUGUAUGAUACAAACGAAUAGGUAGAUCAGAACGAGACAUGAAUUUACUUCAAGGACAUAUAUACUUGGCAGAGCACUAAUUAUUUUAGCAUGUAUGAGCAUGACAAUAGCACAACUGCAGGGCAGAGUAUGUUCUUGAAAUUUUGAAGCUACAAAUGCAGAAUUCCUAUUUAAGAACACCAUUAACAUCUUAAACAAAAAGUUCAUGGGGUUUUAUUAGUGAGCAUUGGCCACCAAUUAUUGUACAAUGCACAUGCCUGCCAGAUUAAACACCAAGAACUAUUCAUCACACACUUGCAAAAGACUUGAACAAAUAUUAUUUAGCAAUAAAGAACACUACUGACCAAUAUUUGAAAUCUACAAUAUUAUUCCUCCAGAUAUAAAAAUUGCUAAGAAAGUUAGUUUUCUAGUGUGUAGGAAAGCAGGCAAUGAAUAUAUUAUCAACACUCAUGUAUAGAAGAAGAAAAUCUUUAGGUUAGAAAUUGAAAAGAAAAUUGAGAAGAAAGAAGUAGGCAUUUCAAGUAGAGGUAGAAAACACAACAAUGAUUAUUCAAAAAACUAUAAAGAUACAAAUAAAUGAAUUACAAGAAGCAACAUUAAAAAUUUACAAUACUCUCAAAUUUGAAUAGUAACCCUAUUUUCUCCUCAUUUCAGAAAGCUAGACAAUUGAGAACCAUAGCCAUGAGAGAUUAAAAUAAGGAUAAUAUAUACUCCUAAAAUCACAAGAUACCCAAUAAUCUUCUAGAAAACAGUUACUCUGUAGCUCAACAACAAUUAAAUUUAGUUGUUUGAGACAAGCCCUCAUUUUUUUAUCAUUUUGUUAUAUUGUUGUAAAAUUCUAGCUGUAGAGAGUUAUACAAUCAACUUGAGCAACCUCUCCCAAGAUCACUAGAUCAGAAUUACAAGAUGAAUUAAAGAUGAUCCGAAAAUUACGAUGAUAAAAAAACAACUCAACAGUGCCACGAAUUAACAGUAAACAAUCAAAGAAAACUAAAAGAAACCAAGAAUGAACCCAGACACAACAAGUAACGUGGUUCAGUCAAUUCAACAUUGACCUACAUCCACGGAGGAACAAAUUAACCAGCUUUAUUAAUUCAACCAAGUCUUGUUUACAAUAAGAUUUACAGAGCCCUAAUCAAGAAACAAGAGACCUCUGUUUACACAAGCUCUCUCUCUCCAGAAUCCUCUGAAACCCCCUCUGUUUGUUACACCAGAAUCAGCUCCAGCUGCUGAGUUUAUAACAACCCAGAAGCAUUCCCAGCUAAGCACGUGAGCAGCAGAUGACUCUAAUGACUUUUAAUAGCCUUCACACGUCAUUUAAAAUGUCAUGUGCAUUGCUUGUGAUUCUUAUAACCAAAACGAUAGAACCAUAGGUCGUUUUGCGAAGAUAUAUAAAGGUAGCAUGAAACGCAGAUUACUGUGUCGUUUUGCUUUGUUAUUUGCAGAGCCAAAACGCCAAGCUUCCUGUCGUUUCUUUAACCUUUUUGAUUUGUUUCAUUUUGGUGCAACAUAACUCCACCUUGAAGCAAAUCAACCCUGAUCAAUUUUCUCCGCAUCCCUCUGUAUCCUCAAAGGCUAUCAACACCAGCCAUGUUCAAGAAAGCUUUGAACUUGGCUGUAGGAACAACUUUAGUAAGUAUAUCUCCUGGAUUAUCAUCUGUGUGAACCUUUACCAUCUUGAUUACUCAUUUGGACACUUCAUUUCUUAUAAAGUGUAGUUUGACAUCAAUAUGCUUGGUUCUUUCAUGAUGAGCUGGGUUUUUACUAAAGUAAAUGGCACUUGAGCUAUCACAAUGGACUUCAACUGUUUUCUGGCUCACCCCUAAUUCUUCGAUCAUCCCUUUGAGCCACAGAGCUUCUUUAACAGCCUAUGUGGCUGCUGUGUAUUCAGCCUCUGUGGUUGAUAAGGCAACCACAUGUUGGAGGCUUGCCUUCCAGCUGAUGAUGCAUCCAUUUAGCAUAAACAAGUACCCUGUUAAUGAUCUCAUUCGGUCAUUGUCUCCAGCAAAAUCUGAGUCUACAUAACCCCACAGACCACCACUUCUUCCUUAUGAUCUUCCAUACAGCAGUCCAAGUUUUUUAGUACCAUUCAGAUACCUUAGUAUCCACUUGAAUGCUUGCCAAUGCUCUUUCCUAGGUGUUGCCAUGUAUCUGCUAACUAUGCUCAAAGCAUAAGAAAUAUCAGGUCUUGUUAAGACCAUGGCAUGCAUCAUACACCCUACAACAUUAGCAUAUGGAAACUUUACCAUUUCAUGUCUUUCAUCAUAUGUCUUAGCACAUUACAUAUUGGAGAGCUUGAAAUGGGAGGCCAGUGGUGUCAUUACAGACUUACAGGUUGACAUGCCAAAUGUCUUAACUAUCUUCUUCACAUAGCUCCCUUGUGACAGAAACAUAGUGCCUUCCUUCAUGUUCCUCUUUAUAUCCAUGCCUAAGAUCUUCUUGGCAUGUCCUAGAUCCUUCAUAUCAAAUUCUGAACUCAGAAGCUCUUUCAAUGCUUCAAUCUCAUCCUUUUCUUUACAAGCAAUUAACAUAUCAUCUACAUACAGCAACAAGUAUAUGUAGUGAUGUGUCUUAAGCAGCUUGUAAUAGACACAACAAUCGAAACUGCAUCUUUUGAAUCCAUUUGUUGUAAUGAACUCAUCAAACCUGAGGUACCACUGCCUUGGGGACUGUUUUAAGCCAUAUAGUGAUUUCUUAAGUAAACACACAUGUGCUGGUCUCUCUGGAUCCACAUACCCAUCUGGCUGAACCUUUAGAAUUUCUUCUUGUAAUAUUCCAUGAAGGAAUGCAGUUUUGACAUCGAGUUGAUCAAGCUCCAUGUCAUAAACUGCAGUCAUAGCUAGUAAUACUCUGAUUGAAGUAUGUCUAACUACUGAUGAAAAAACUUCUUUAAAGUCAACCCCUUUCUUUUGAGUGUAGCCCUUAGCCACUAACCUAGCUUUAAAUCUCUUAAGUUCUGAAGCUGUCAGGCCAUCCUUAAUUCUGUAGAUCCAUUUACAACCAAUGAGUUUUCUUUUUUCAGGUUUCAUUACCAGCUCCCAGGUGUUGUUUUUAUAGAAAGAUGGCAUUUCUUCAUCCAUUGCCUGCUGCCAGUCAGUUUUGUAUGAGCUUUGCAUUGCUUCUUUAUAGCUCAUUGGUUCUUCUUCGUCAAUCUCUCGUGAAGUGGCAAGUGCAUAUGCAAUAAGAUCUGCAUAGCCAAAUCUCUUUGGGGGUCUUAUUACUCUCAUUUCUCUGUCUUUAGCUAGAUGAUAAUCUUCUGUAUGGGGCCUUGGGUGUUCUGAGCUUGUAUCCCCAUCAGCAGCAACUUCUUCAUAUGAAUCUGAAGCAUCUCCAAACAUUUUCAUUGCUAGAUGCUCCACCUCAAACUGUAUAACAUCAUCAGUUUUGUUAUGAGGUUCAACAUUCUCAAUAGGUUUCUCCUCACUAUGCACCAUCUGCUCAUUAAACACCACAUCUCUGCUGACUAUACAUUUUGGAGGGGACAAGUUUGUGCACCAAAUUUUAUAGCCUUUUACUCUUUCUGGAUAACCUAUAAACAACCCCUUUAGAGCUCUUGGUGCUAGCUUUCCUUGGUUGCAUGUGCAUAGGCAGUGCAGCCAAACACUUUAAGCUUGUUGUAGUCUGUUGGUUUGCCAUACCACUUCUCAUAUGGUGUUUUGAAGUCUAAGGCUGAGGAAGGGCUCAAAUUAACCAACAUGCAAGCUGUUAGCAGUGUUUCUGCCCAUAGCCCUUUAGGUAGCUCUGAUUGUAUCAUCAUGCAUUUGACCUUCUCCAUCAGAGUCCUGUUCAUUCUUUCAGCCAAGCCAUUCUGUUGUGGUGUUAGCCUCACUGUUCUGUGUCUAGCAAUGCCUUCUUUUGAGCAGAAUUCAUCAAACAUCUUAUUACAGUACUCUAGUCCAUUGUCAAUUCUAAGAACUUUCAGCUUCUUCCCUGUUUGGUUUUCAACAAGUGCUUUCCACUCUUUAAACCUCCCAAACACCUGAUCUUUGGUUCUAAGUACAUACACUCAAACCUUCCUAGAAUAAUCAUAUAUUAUGGACAUAAAGAAUCUAUUCCCACCCAAAGAUGGAACCUGUGAAGGUCCCCACAGAUCUGAAUGCACAUAGUCCAGGAUACUUUUGGUCUUGUGGACAGAUUUCUUAAAGCUAGCUCGAGUGGAUUUCCCUAGAACACAAUCCUCAUAGAAAUCUAGUUCAUCAAUCUUGUCAGCCCUCAAAACUCCCUGUUUGCUAAUUCUUUAAGACCUUUUAGGCUUAUGUGUCCCAACCUCAGAUGCCAAAAAGUCUGGUGUUAUCAGCAUUAGCCUUUACAGACACACUGGAUUCACAUGUUACUACUUCCCCAUCUAAGACAUAAACCCCAUUCUUCCUUUUGCCUUUUAUAAUCAGUGUUGAGCCAUUUAAGAUUCUUAGUUCCUCACACUCUAAUUUUAUACUACAUCCAAUUUGCUCAAGCAUCCCUAGAGAGAUUAAAUUCCUCUUAAGGUCUGGUACAUGCCUAACAUGUUUUAUUAGCCUUACAAUCCCAUCAUGUAGUUUUAGAUGUAUGUUUCCCAUCCCAGUGACCUUAUACACUGCAUUGUUUCCCAUCAUUACCCUUCCCCCAUCAUAUUCAUGGUAAUCAGAAAAAUAACUUUUUACAGGACUCAUAUGAAAGGUGCAGCCAGAAUCAAGGAUCCACUUACCUCUUUGUACUUCAUUAGUUGCCACACACACUCCAGCUGAUUCAUAUCCCUUAUAUUCAACUAUUGCUGCAUCUCUAUUCUGUUCUUUCUUCUUUUGUUUCUUCUCAGGGCAGUCUUUCUUGAAGUGUCUUUCAUUGUGGCAUUGGAAACACUUUAGAUUCUUGUUUUUAUUCUUUCCCUUUCCUUGCUUCUUUUUCUUUCCCUCAUUUCUGUCAUUUCUGCCUCUCACAGUCAAACCCUCUCUACUCUCCAUGUUAACUUGCUUUUCUUGUAGACCUCUGGUAUUCAAUGCAGCCUUAACCUCAUCCAGAGACAAGGUUUGUCUGCCAUACAUCAAAGCAUCCACAAAGUUGGAGUAUGAAUGUGGUAAUGAGCUUAUUAGAAGUAGAACUUUACCUUUAUCAUUCAGACCCUCAUCAAUGGUCUCCAAAGUGUCACACACUUUGUUGAACUCAUCGAUAUGUUCUUCAAGAGAGGAUCCCUCAGCCAUCUUUAAUGAAAACAUCCUCUUCUUGAUAUAGAGCUUGUUUGCCAGUGACUUUGUCAUGUACAGAUUCUCAAGCUUAGCCCAUAGCUCUGCCACUGUUCUCUCCUUAGCCACUUCUCUGAUAACCGAGUAACUCAAACUCAGAAUAAUUGUUCUUCUUGCUUUCUUGUCGAUCUCAGCAGCUAUUUCUGGAGAUUUUGAUGAAGGCCCCUCAUACCCUUCUUUCUUUGUUGUUGGUUUUAAUGCUUCACCCAGGCCUUGUGUAAUUAACAAUGCCUCCAUUUUCACCUUCCACAUAUUAAAGUCAUUCUUCCCAUUAAACUUUUCAAGAUCAACUUUACGAGCAGUCAUACUUGUAUCUGAUCAAGAAAUCUAGCUCUUAUUCCAAUUGUAGAGAUUGGCAAGUUAUACAAUCAACUUGAGCAACCUCUCCCAAGAUCACCAGAUCAGAAUUACAAGAUGAGUUAAAGAUGAUCCGAAAAUUACAAUGAUAAGAAACAACUCAACAGUGCCACGAAUUAACAGUAAACAAUCAAAGAAAACUAAAAGAAACCAAGAAUGAACCCAAACACAGUAAGUAACGUGGUUCAAUCAAUUCAACAUCGACCUACAUCCACGGAGGAACAAAUUAACCAGCUUUUUUGAUUCAACCAAGUCUCAUUUACAAUAAGAUUUACAGAGCCUUAAUCAAGGAACAAGAGACCUCUGUUUACACAAGAUCUCUAUCUACAGAAUCCUUUGAAACCCCCUCUGUUUGUUACACCAGAAUCAGCUCCAGCUACUGAGUUUAUAACAACCCAGAAGCAUUCCCAGCUAAGCACGUGAGUAGCAGAUGACUCUAACGACUUUUAACAGCCUUUACACGUCAUUUAAAAUGUCACAUGCAUUGCUCGUGAUUCUUAUAACCAAAACGAUAAAACUAUAGGUCGUUUUGCGAAGAUACAUAAAGGUAGCAUGAAACACCGAUUACUGUGUCGUUUUGCUUUGUUAUUUGCGGAGCCAAAACGCCAAGCUUCCUGUCAUUUCUUUAACCUUUUUGAUUUGUUUCAUUUUGGUCCAACACUAGCAAUGUGGUGAAACAAUAUAGGAUAAUCAUAAACCAAUCAAGGAAGAGAACACAUAACAAAUAAAAGCAAGCAACCACUAUAACUAACAAGUCCAUGAGGUACAAAAUAACAGUUAAAUUUACUCUAAGGCAACAGAUGGGCAAUAUGAACUUAACAUAAACAACAAAAGCUUUUCAAGAUUACCCAUCAAGAGAUUUCAUUACAUAUGAAUUUUACCAUGGUCAUCAAAUAUAAUGCUAACAAAAUCAAAAACAAAGUUUACAAUGUUUUGAAAUAUGUGUUUUUUAUAUUUUAGUGGUAUUCUCAUUUUAACAAAAUGAGGAUGUCCUCACUAGAAAAUGAAUUAUAUAUAGAUAUAAUGCUAAUUUAGUCUAGGAUCCUCGACUUUAUUAAAGUCUAGAAAAGCUAUUAAAUAGCUCAAUUUAAUAGUAUUGUUUGGGAAAAAAUUUGGGUUCAAACAUGAACCAAUUUUUCAAGGGUGACAAAGAGCGUGCGUUAGCGACAGUUUCAAUAUCAAGUUAUCCAUUUUGUCUGUGUGAGACUCUUACAUGAAAUUAUAACUUCUUUGCAUUUUAUUUUAGGUACAAUUAGCAAGUUGUGAUUCUAGAAAUCAUGUUGCAGAAAACAUUAGACAAAAGGUGAGAAGGACCACAAUUUAAUUGUCAAUUUCAAUUCCUAAUUUAUGUAUAAGGAACAUAGUCUAAUCGAAGACUAACACUUCUUAUUUGUGGUUUUACUUCAGGUAGAAUAUGAACAAGUAACAAAUCAUAAUAUGACUUAUAAUGUAAAUCAUGUUACAGAAAAUAUAUGUUCCAAUUCAUGGGUGAGAAAGAACAUGCAUUGUUGACAACUCUUUAUAUCAAUUACGAAUGUACUGCAGGAAAAAUAUAUUCAGAACUAAUGCUAUUUACGGUUCUUAUUUCAGGAAGAAUUGCAACUACUACCUAGUCAUAAUUUGGGUUUGAUUUUAUAAAUCAUGUUGCUGAAAAAAUCAGAAAAAAAUUCCUACAAGUGAGAAAAAAAGCUUGAAUUUGUCAACUUACAUAUGUAUGAUAAAUGGUGUCCCAAAUUACUAAUGUCUUGUUCAUGGCCUUUACUUCAGGCAAAUUAUCAAUUACCAAGUCACUAUUUUACUUUCGACAUUAGAAAUCAUGUUGUAGAAAAAUACUCUUCCAAAGCUCAGAAAUAACACAACUUGUGGCAGUUAUGAAAUAUCAACAUAUGAAUAUAGUGCGUGAGUAACUAUUUUUUGGACUAAUGCUACUUUGUCAUUGGCUUUUAUUUUAGGAAGAAUCUAAAUUGUUACCAAGUCACAAUUUGGCUUUGCACUGUAGAAAUCGUGUUGCAGAAAGUACUUUUCCAAUAGUGAGAAAAAGCAGCCAUAAUAUCUCUAAUACACUAGAAAUAUAUACAUACAAAACUAAUGCUUAUUUGUCCAUUAUUAAUUCAGGUGUAAUCUCUACAAUUGCCAUGUUACCAUUUGAUUUCUUAUUUUAGAGAUCAAGUUGCAGAACAAACUUUUUCAGGCGUGAGAAAGAUUGCUAUAUAAACAAUUUCAAAUGCUAAUCUAUGUAUUUUGUGCAUGAGGAAUGUUUAUAGAAUUUGCAUUUCUUCCUACAUUGUUCUUAGGAGGAACCUUUGGUGUUUGCUCAAUUUGAUGCUCUUUACGGUUGUAAUGGAUCACCGCUGCAGUCACUAGAACAGAGAUCUUCCUCAUGAUAUUUUGGUGGCUUCAGCAACGAGUGUGAUGGGAUGAAUUCUCAAUUUAAUGGCCGCGGGCAGCAGGAAGAUGUAAAUUCACAAUGGGGGCUACCCAUGAAAAAUACCCUCUUGAAGAAACUGAACUUGCUCUCUCCAGUCUCCAAUAGCUAAUGGAGAAUAUUAUUGUUGAAAUUGUGAUAACACUUCAUUCUUGCAGGAUGUAUUCCCAGCUCUGUUACAUAGUAAAAUAUUUAUUUCAGUAUAUGAUUGUGUUGGCUAGUUCAUGAAAGUUAAUGCUUGUUUAAUUGAAAUAUAGUUAUGAGUUUGAGCCUUAUGAAGCUUGUUUCCUAGUUCCGUAGGAGCAAGUCAGAAAGAUUGAGAAAUAAAAUCAUAAGUUUUGAUUCCUUCUCUAGAUGAUCAUCUUAGGUGAGGAUUUUGUGAAAUGCAUGGAGGUAAACGAUCAAUGAAUGACUUGAGAAUAUUAAUUUAAGUAGCACAAACAAUAAUCAAAUCCUCCUAGGCGGUAAUGUCGUUAAUUUAUUGUUGUUGAUGAUUUGGUACACUGAUGAUGCUUCAAUCAUCUUAAAUUCCAUUCAAAAUUGUGUAAUCGUGAGUAGCGUAUGUAAAUAACUAUUAAAUCCUCUUGAAGGAAAGUAUUGUUACUACAUAUAAUAUCACACAUGGUCUGUAAUCUUUGAGACUCAUUAUAUACUAAAGGAAUUGUUAUGUUGUCCCCUUGGUCUCUAUUUGAUAUUAAUGGGUAGCUAUGGUGAAGUUUUGGAAAACUUCAUUUUGUUAAACAUACUAACAGAACUCUUGUCUAUAGUGCUCAUACGACGGUUUAUAGACCUAAUGCAAGAUAAUCCGUGGAUGGUACAAGAAGGGAAUGUAGUUUUUUUCAUUGUGAGAUCAUGGCAAUUACUUUUCCAUACCUCAGAUUAAAUGACCUAGUUAACUUACAUGAUAAUGUAAGUAACAUAAGUUCAACAACAAUCGUUCGAUGCGAAGUUGAAAAUCGAAGUGGCUAAAAUGUUAGGUGAUCGUAAGGGGAGUUGUGGGCAACCAGGACAAACCGGUGGAUAGCGUAGAAGGCUACCGGGUGAAUCUAGAACUCUAAUUAACGAAAUAAAAAGAAUAACGCCGCGGACACGCUAGGAGGCAACAACAAACAUUUUAAGAGUUAAAAUUUCUAGGGUUUUCACAUGAUAAAUGAAAUAAUGGAAGAAAGAGAUUUAUAGGGGAUAUCAAUGUGCAAUAAUGCAAACAUUUACAUUAUCAACGGAUGAAUGAAACUGGGAGCAGAAACGUGCAGUUAUGAACGACGAUUAAUUUUGUAGCUAAAAAGUUGAAAUAGGGGGUUCAUGGCAAGAAAUGCCAACGCAGUAUGAAGCAGUCGUAAAAGAAAUUGUUGUCGUUAAUAAAAUAAGAGGUGGGGCAGUGGACUUGCAGCAUAGGAUAGUGACACAACAAGGUGAAAAGAACGUUGAGGGAGAGAUAGAGGGAAAUGCUGGUUAUGUGUUUGUAUCGUAUUUGUAAGUAUCGGUGACAGCAAGAAAAAAUAAUGAAUACCAAUCUUUAAUGUUAUGUUAGCAAGUAAAACAAAGUAAAAUAGGUAAAUGCAACAUGGUAAUUUGAUAUAUAUGCUUAAAAAAAUUUGAAGCAGACAUAACAAGACUGAUAUGGACUUGUAGUAGUGGAGGUAGAGGGUAAUAUCCACUUAUGUGAUUUGAGACUGUCUAUUUAUAGCGUUAAUGGAAUGAAUACAAUAUUGAUAAAUGUGUUUGAUCAGUUGUGAAGAUAUAGAUUAGUUUGGUGACUAAUAUGUCAUUUAUGUAUAGUUGAAGCUGUAUGGAAUUUGUAUAGCAUUUGUAGUUAAGGAGUAGUAUAUGGAAAUUAAUAACAAACAGUUUGAUUGAUUAUAAUGGGAGAUAGAGGUUAAAUUGUUUAGUGUUCUAACUGAGUUUAUUCUUACACAUGCAACAGAAAAGCAGUACGGAAGCUGAAGGCAAAGGAUAGAAGGGGUUGUAUCACGAAUGAGGUGAGUUUGAUUUCUAUAGAAGCUAGGGUGAACAUAAAACUAACUAAGGUAACGUGAAAUGGGUGGUGAAAUAAAAACUAGUUGCUAAGUUAUGAUUAACACCUAUAUCGAAAAUAAUUUAGGUUAGGAAGGAGAUUGGAAAGGAGUUUAAGAAUUUGCCUCCCGAGAAAAAAUGCAAGUACACUGGAGGAAGCCACAGAGUAUCACCGGUUGAUGGAGGAAAAUCAAAGUUUGUAUUAAGGUGUGUGCCAGAUCGUCUAGCAAAUGUUGCCUCAAGUUUAACAGUGGAGCAAAAGGCACUGGUGAGAGCAAUUGGAUUUAGUACACUAAUUGAGAUGAAAUACGGUUGGCUGAAAAAGAAGUUAUGUGAGAGGUUAUUGGACAACGUUGAUACGGAAUGGUCUAUAUUGAGAGUUCAUGGUUGGGAGGUAGAGGUCAACACCGCGAGUUUUGUGCAAAUUAUAGGUAUUUUAGAUGAGGGAAUAUAGGUGGAGGUUGAGGGCGACAUGUAUGAAAUUGCUGGUUAUUUAGACCGGUUUGAGGCAAGUUAUAAGGGAAUACACAUAAAGAAAUUGGAUGACAUCCUAAAGAGUUGUCAAUGUGAUAACGAUGAGUUCAAAGUAACAUUUGCUCUUUUUUUGCUGGGUUCAGUGCUAUGUUCUCCCGACAGAGUCCAUAGAAGUUCAUUGUUGAGUAUUAGAAAAUGUAUAUUUAUAAAGGAGAAAACUGUCAUUUUACACUUCAAGUUCCACUAACAUUCAUACUUUUAUGUAUUUAAGUUUCUUGUCAUUUAAUUAUGUGUGUUGUAUUAUAAUUAAGUAUUUUAUGUAUUUUAGGGGCAUCAUAGUCAUUUCACAAUGAACGAGAGAUCAGACGGCAAAACGGACAUCACCUUUGAACUCAGGACGGUCGAAAACCUUAGGAGGAGCAUAAAAGGAAAAAUGACACUAUUCACAUGUACGGUACUAUCUACGUUACUGUUCACGACACUGUUCACAUAGACGGAUCGAUGAUGUGGCAUUGACCGAUGAUGUGGCAUUGACUGAUGAGGUGUCACGAUCCUGUUGGACUAAAAUUCUUAUGUACUGUUGAUCGAUGACGUGGCAGCAUAUCAGUAGGCCAAAAAUCUCGCGUACGGUACAUGUUGUUGUGCAAAUUUUAUUGAACUCGUAAGUGCAUGAAUCUAUUGUAGAAUAGAUCAAUGGUGACGAGUGUCGAUCUCACGAGGAGGUGGAUUUUAAUUGUGUAGAAUUAAUUUUUCUAAAUGGGUGGUUGGAUUUGUGGUAAAAGUGACUUAUAUUAUUCUAAAAUUGGAAUUGAAAUGGCGAGAAUAAAUUGAAGAGAAAUCUAUUGAAAUAACGUACUUGGGUAUCUGGAUCCGUAUCAACAUGCACCAUGGGCUAAAUACUCCUUAUUAAUGCCAAUUAAAUCAUGAGGGGGGAAUCCACACCUCAUGAACCACACUCUAAUCAAUAUGGUGCUAAGGGCUUAUCAUGCCAAAUAAUAAUAACAUUGUACUAGAGAGCCAGUGAAACCAAUGCGGUAUCUAGACAAGAUUAUUAUUAUUUGUCGACGAAAAGUCAAAUUAUCCAAAAAAAUUAGAGGGGAAGAGAAAGUAAAUUUACCAAAUAAAACCCAUGACACAUGUUGAGACUUCACCUUCAACCCAAGCUUGAAAGAAAAUUAGCUACUCAUAAUUGAACUAGGGGUCAAAUAUGAAUUUAUUAAAAUACGUAGAAAAUACAAGAUGGAGAAGGAAUUACAGAAAAUGGAGUUCAAAAAUGGAUUCAGAGAUAUCAGAAUAAGAGGGGGAGGCCCCCUUUUUAUAGAUACAUUGAGUAAAUCAUGACCAUCGGAUUAAAAACAGUUUGGACGCUCAGGAUUGCGCUACGUCAUCAGUCAACAGUACGCGGUUUGACCACGUGGGUGAACAGUAACAUGGUUUGACCCGGCUUUGAAUAGUAACGCGGUUUGGUUGAAAAUAAUCCUGUGUAAUGCAUGUACCGUACGCGCAAGUUUUGAUCCACUAAUAUGCUACCACGUCACCAUCAACAGUUCAUAAGAAUUUUAGACCAACAGGAUCAUGACACCUCAUCAGUCAAUGCCACAUCAUCGGUCAAUGCCACGUCAUCGAUCCGUCUAUGUGAACAGUGUCGUAAACAGUAACGUAGACAAUACCGUACAUGUGAAUAGUAUCGUACAUGUGAACAAUGUCAUUUUUCCUUUUAUGCUCCUCCUAAGGUUUUCGACCGUCCUGAGUUCAAAAGUGAUGUCCGUUUUGCCGUUUGAUCUCUCCUUUAUUGUGAAAUGACUAUGAUGCCCCUAAAAUACACAAAAUACUUAAUUAAAAUAAAACACACAUAAUUAAAUUACAAGAACCUUAAAUACAUAAAAGUAAGGGUAGUUAGUAAGACUUGAAAUGUAAAAUGAUGAUUUUCUCCUUUAUAAAUAUACAUUUUCUAACACUCAACACAUGCAUUACACAAGAUUAUUUUCAACCAAACCGCGUCAUUGUUCAAGUCGGGUCAAACCGUGUCACUGUUCAAACCGCGUGGUCAAACCACGUACUGUUGACUGAUGACGUGGCGUAAUCCUGAGCAUUCGAAAUGUUUUUGAUCCGAUGACCAUGAUUUACUCAAUGUAUCUAUAAAAAGGGGACUCUCCCCCCCCUUAUUUGAUAGCUCUGAAUCCAUUUUUGAGCUCCAUUUUCUGUAAUUCCUUCUCCAUCUUGUAUUUUCUGCGUAUUUUAAUAAAUUUCCAUUUUGCCCCUAGUUCAAUUAUGAGUAGCUAAUUUUCUUUCAAGCUUGUGUUGAAGGUGACGUUUCAACAUGUGUCAUGGGCUUUAUUUGGUAAAUUUAUUUUCUCAUUCCCUCUAGUUUUUGUGGAUGUUUUGACUUAUCGUCGACAAAUAAUAAUAAUCUUGUCUAGAUACCGCCUUGGUUUCACCGGCUCUCUAGUACAAGGUUAUUAUUAUUUGGCACGAUAAGCCUUUAGCACCAUAUUGAUUAGAGUGUGGUUCAUGAGGUGUGGAUUCCCCCCUCAUGAUUUAAUUUGCACUAAUAAGGAAUAUUUAGCCCAUGGUGCAUGUUGAUGCGAAUCAUAUACCAAAGCGCUUCAAUUUCAAUAGAUUUAUCUUCAAUUUAUUCUCGCCAUUUCAAUUCCAACUUAAAUUCUAAGAUAGUCUAAAUCACUUUCACCACAAAUCCAACCACUCAUUUAGAAAAAUUAAUUUUACACACAAUUAAAAUCCACCUCCUCGUGGGAUCGACACUCGUCACCAUUGAUCUAUUCUACAAUAGAUUCGUGCACUUGCGAGUUCAAUAAAAUUUGCACAACAUUCAUCAUUGUUGUUUGCAUUGAAGGAUUUAAAAAGAAUUAGUUCAAGGAAUUGGGCGUCCUUUUGCUUCGGCAAGCUGAUGUAGGGCAUAACAAGAUACAAGGAGGAGUAGUUGGGAUACGUCGGUGGUUGUUUAUUAUAUCUCCAGGUGAAGCUGUGGGUUUAGAUAUUGAAAAUAAAUAUUAUUAGUUUUAAUAAAAGAAUCGUUUGAAGGUAUAUUUACUCAUCAUUUUAGAUGAAUUAGAUUCGGAUAAUCAAUGACAAUACAAACAGUGUAUAAAUAGGUAUAUUUUGUUCCCUUUGGUAAUGAACAAUGUUAAUGAUGUUUACUAUUAUAAUUUGAAUGGAAACAUUUGAGCUAUAUAGAUAUUGUACAUAAAUUUUGUACAUUAUGCAAAAGUUAGAAGAGAUACAUCUAUAUACCCUAUUGUCAUGUGGGAUGCGAACGAGAUUAGGGUAUUUAUGAAGUGGAUAGACAAGUUGGGCGGUGUUGGCAAUAAUAAGGUAUAUAACACUGAAUUAAAAGACAAAUAAUGAUUUUCUCGCACAAUUGACAGAAAUAUGAUAUGGUUGUUGGUGAUACUGAUUAGAAUUGAGAUGUGGUGGAUGGUUACCAUAUUUGUGUUGCAGGUUAGAUUGCGCGAUAAAGUCAAUCAGUGCAGCAAAGAUGCAGAGGGAAUUUAGUCAAAAAUGAAGAAUUAUAUAGAGAGAAGGAUAAGUUCCAAUUUACAGGCUACGAACCAUGAGUUCAAGGGUUUUAUUCUCGGUUUGAUUUGCCGAAAGAGUUGUCCCUUAAGAUCCUUGAAAAUGUAAAGUUUAGGGGAGGAAAUUUAUUUCGUCGGUUGGUUGAGAAAAGUGAUAGGGAAGAUGGUGUUGCCUUGGGGGGUUCAAGUUGCACGAUUGGUGAUGGGCUGGCAUAUUAUGGAAAAAGUCAAGGUGGGGCAGAGAGAACAAAAAGUAUGAAACCAUAAUGCUACCCAAUGGAAAACUAUGCUUCCAAAGAAUAAUGUUGAUAACUUUGUGUGUCCAUUUGGAUUGAAAUUGGAAUCUCCAGCUGCAGUAAAAUAAUUGUGUGAUGUUGAAAAUAUAUCUGUUACUAAAUUAUUGCGCUAAUCGAACUAUGAUUGAAGCAAUGAGUUUUCAAUGGUCUUUGAGUUGGGUUCAAUUGUUUUUACCAUAUUGUUGCAGAAAAUUUUUGGGGAUGAGAUAAUAGAUUUUAUGGCACUCGGGAAUAGCCCUUCAAGAGAUAAAUCUGAGAUGCCAAUGUGGAUGGCGAGCAAAAAGGCCAAUGCUAAUCGAUCGGGAUGGUUCAGGAUUGGUCCUUAUAUCAUACUUCAUCCUGUGUGUGAUAACGAGAUGAAACUGAUCCGAUACAAGAUAAAUGAAGAUUUGGAUAUCAGGUAAUUAACAAAUGUGAAAUAUAAAAAAAGUAGAUCAACUUUGUCUCCAUAUUAUAUCCAUUAGAUGAUGUUAGUUGUAUGUAUUUGUGGAGGUGCUCUAUCUGUCACGUCGGUUGUGUUGCCGUCCUGUAUUAUGUUGUGAUGAAUAAGUCGGUGCAAAUGUUUAAGUGACUUGAUGUUAACUUUUCUUGCAACGAACCUCUGGUCCAAACAAAAAUGAAUUGCUUGAGCAGGAAUGAAUAUUGUCGUUUUGCCCAAAAAGAUGGGUUAAUGGUCAGGUGAGGGAGGAGAUGUUUCAAAUCUUAUUACCUAGAUUUUAACGUUCACAUAUAAUAACAAUUUCAGUCAAUUAAUUCGAUCUCUCAUUAUAGAUAGUCUCCACUAAGGCUGAGAUUUUGUCCUAUAAAGAGCGGGAAAAAGGCCCUGACAAUCCGCGCUUCUGGUUUCUACCAACUUAUUUUGUUGUAUAUAGUUUGCUUAUUGUUUGUUUAUUUUUUUGGUUGAACAUUCAUUCUAAACUUUUCAUUAUUAACGUGUGGAAAUUUAACUGGCACAUAUCGUGAAUGAAUGCAGCAUUUGGUUUUGGCUCAAGGUAGUGACAUAGCAUGGCUAGGAAAAUGGAAACGCUUAAGGGAGUGCUACAUGCUUAAGGGAGUACCAAUAUGAUGUUAACGACUAACUGUUACGACGAAUUGCAUAGAUAGUUAUUCCGGUCAACCAUGAGCCAUCGCACUGGUAUGUCGUAAUAGUGGAUAUGAAACUUUGUUGUGCAGAGAUAUGGGACCCAAUGUCAAGUCAAUUAAUAAAAAAUUUAAUUUGUGGGGAAGUAAAUACCAUUGUGAGUUAAUAUGGACUACAGUUAACGAAUCAAUUUUCCCUUCUAUUUAUCUUGGUAGUUGUGUGCGACGUGGUGAUUUCCUGUUUGUGUUUCAUUGAACCAAUUAUACUUUCUGAAAUUCAAUUGAGCCAUUGGUGUUAGAAUACAUAUGAGUCAUGUUUACCAUGUAAGUUUUUUCAGUUGCUGGAAUAUAAUAGAGAAAUGCAUUGCAACUAUUUAUAGUGUUGAUAUAAUGUUCGGUAUCCUGAGAUUAUUGGGUUUAUAUGAUUUCAUACAUUGAAAGAUUCAUGUUCGACUUAAAAAAUUGUUUUGGGGACAUGGGUGUAAUGUUUGUUGAACUGUAUAGAUUAUGAUGAACUGGUAUAAACAUCAUAUACAUCGAUUGAAUAUGACAUAUAUUGCAAUCAUGAUAUUUUUUCUUAAGUUUAUUGUUGGGUUUGGAGGUGUAGGUUACGUCAUGUAUUUAAGGGUACAAUAAUGCAAAGGUAUCAUAAAAUAUGCUAAUAUGCCACUCCAACGACAUAUUAUUUGUCGGUGAUUAUGUAUUUCCAGUUGACAGUGCUUGACGAGAUAUUGAAGGAUGACAUAAGAUUGUUAUUCGGUGGUGAUUUCCAGUUUAAGAGAUUUCAAUGCAUAGAGGCAAGAAUGGUUCUCGUUGGACGUUAUGGUUUUAAUUGCGGGCUGGUUGUGAUUCAGUGGAUGGAGAGCAUUGUGAAGGAAGCAGGCGAGGAUUAUACUGUAAGUUUACCAGAUUUCAAUGACCAUACAGUAAGUAAAGAAGUUACCUCAGUUCAAACUUUAACUUAUGAUAAGUUCACAAGGUGUGCAUAGUAAUUCGAUUAAGUCUAACGGAUAUAUGAUUGUUUGAACCUUACCUGGUAACACAUAAUGCCUGUGUUGUCUUGUUUUUUCAACUUCAAAGUACAGAUGAAAAUGAUGAUACUGGAUUGAAUAAUUGUAUUAAAGAAAUUUAUCAUUAUCCUCAGUUUAAUUCGGACGAGGUACAAAAGAACUUGGCCAUUUAGUUGGUAUUUGAUGGGACAAACAUGGUGAAGGACAAAAUAUUGAGGUGAGCGAUCAACUUUCAUAAUAGCAAUGAAACAGAGCAACGGAGGCGGGCAAAAGUGUUAGAGAAGAAGUACCUUUUGGGGGUAGAUAUUCAAAGCAUAAGGGUAAUGGGCAUAGAAAGUAGGAAAUUAGUUCUUGCCUGUGUUCUACAAGUUGUCUUGUAACGUCAAGGUGGCUAUUGAGGUGAAAGGUACUCUAUGUUUGUCAUUAACCGAAGUUGUGUUAUGCAUCGUGAAAUGUUCAUAUUGGUGCACGUCUAUAAACAUACAACGUUGCCAGCAUUUAUCCUUUAUAAUGCAAGUUACAAGGACAACCAGGACAUGCAAUUGAUAUGAAACAGAUUUGGUUGGAACAAAAACUACUUUAUUAUAAUUAUCCGAAGAUUUAGGUUGACAAGCCCGGAAAAUGAAUGACCACAAAUGGCAAUAUAUGCUUUCACCAAAUUAUUGAAGGUGUGAUUAAUUUCAUGCAAAGGUAACUGAUCAGCAAGUACUCUGAUAUUGGAAACAACCAUGAUCAUCAUAUGUCAACGUUUAAAGAAUUACAUUUCUACGAUCCAGAUCAAACUAAAGGGGUACAUAACAACAUCCACCGAUUUUAAUUGUAUAACAUACAAAAUCGGUUAGAACACCUGCAUGGACAACAACAUACUUGACAAUCAAAUAGCACAAACAAGAAGUCUCUACCAUUCACGCUUCUGAAUAGUCAUAUAAUCCUAUAAAAUAUUUUCACAAAUAAGGGAAAAUAAAUGGCCAUGCAUCAGCACAUUGCGAAAUCAUCCCAACAGCCUUGUCUGUUGCGUGUGCUGGCAGUUCGAGAUGAACUUGGAAGUACCACAGACAACCCUAACUAAAUGAAUCGGCCGUCUUGUUUUGAAUGACUGAGUCCUAGUGAAGUGCUGCCAAAUAAAUUAUGUUGAGAAGUUUCACCUACGUAUUUGUUUUACUCCCAUACCUGCAGGAAUCUGAUGCGUUUGAGGGAGCUGGUUUGGACCUGCUGUCUGAUAUAACAUUUGUCCAAUCACAGACAUUUUGGUUUGAUGCUUGGAAGAAGUUUUGGGAUAAGUUGUCCAAAUCGAUUGGACAAUGAGGCGCCUUUUGGGAGUAGGUUCUGAUCGUGUGCCCGGGCUUGCUACAACGACUACAUUCUCUUGCAUUUUGUUGGGUCCUUUUUGGUUGCCUGGGUGCUCUUUUUGUUAGCACUAUAAGAGGGUCUUGAAUCCUGUUAGGUUGUCUGUAAGUUUUUAUUACAUGAUUUGUUACGGUUGAUGGCGCGUGUAUAGAUUGGAGUCGCAUAUUUAACUGGUGAAGAGCCUUUAUAGCCUCGAUGUAUGCUUCUACACUGUUAGAUGCAAAUGUUUGCACGUUCCUGCAGGCAGCAUGCACAACCCGAUCCGUGUGUGUUUGCUGAUGCAGUGGGUGACGGCUAGUUCUGUUACUUGUGGCCGUAUGUUUAAUCUAGCAGUUUUUUUCCCACCGUGAUAGUUGCAUUGAUUCUGGGAUAAAUUGGAUAUCCUCAGCUUUAAAAGCAGUAAAUGCAUGAGAACAAGGUAUGCCCUUACUCUUAAAGAGUUGAGAACCGCAACAUGCAAGCUUUGAGACCAGAUCAAACUCAACAUUCCAUUCUUUAUUAACCUUGCCGAAUUAUCUGAAGCUGUAUGUCUUUGAAUUUAUGCAUGAAAUUACCCAUCUCUUUUUCUCGAUCUCCUUGCGUACUUCCUCAAACAAAUUUUUCGUGGACAUGUUACCUGCUUGUUGCUCAUACUCUCUUAAAUGGGUGGUUAAACUCGACUUGCUGUUUGAACUCUGGUAAUCAUCAUAUGAUUCCAUUUCCCGUUGUCUACCCAUCAACCUCGCCAUUUGAUCAACAAAAUCUGUUAACUAUUGUUUCCUAUUAACAUAUUGGUUAAGGUAGCCAUUGAAUCCCAUACAUCGUUGCGUACUUCUCAUUCCUCUAAAAAAAUGGCCUUUAAGAAUUGCUUAACAUAUGCCCACACCAUGGUUUUGAAACUUGGCGAUUGGUCACGUAUUUCUACGAGGGCUUAAUACCCCAAAGUAGACAAGUUGUUGAAAUGAUGUGUAAUGGUGAAUUUAGGGAUAAAAUUCCUAAGGAUGCACUAGAUUACCUUGACCAAUUAGCUGAAAAUGCACAACAUUGGGAUACUGUUGGAACUUUUGAAAUGACAAAUAAGCAACAACCAUCUCCAUCUAGUGGAGGAAUCCAUAACCUUAGGGAAGAUCAUGAUUUACAACCAAAAUUUGCAUCCCUAGUUAGGAAAGUUGAAGCUUUGGAGCAUAAAAAGAGUGAUCAAGUAAAAUAUGUUCAAGAAAUUGAAUGUAACAUAUGUAGUUCAAAUGAUCAUUUCACUCAAGAUUGUCCCACUCUGUCUACACUUAAAGAAUGUCUAAAUGAUCAAGCUAAUGCCGUUAACACUUUUAAUAAACCAAACCCAUAUUCACAGACUUAUAAUCCUGGUUGGAGAAAUCAUCCAAAUUUCAGUUGGAGGAAUAAUAAUAAUGCACAAUCUUCACAAGCACCACCUCUACAAAAUUUUCAAAAUACGCAGCCUUAUGCAUUAUAUGUUCCACCACCUUGGAAAAAUCUGGAAGACACAAUGCAUUCAUUCAUCAGAAAGCAAGAUGUGUUAUUAACAAUCAAAAUGCACAAACUUUUUCUGAUUUGAAAGAUACUCUUGCUAAAAUUGCUUCUGCACUCACAAUUCAAGAAAAAAGAAAAUUUCCAACCCAACCACAACCAAAUCCUAAGAUUCAACAAAAUCCACCCACAUACCAAGUCAAGUCAGUUAUAACUCUUCGUAAUGGUAAAGUUGUUGAUAGACUUAUGCCUGAACCUUGUGAAAAUGAUGAAAAUUCAAAGGGUAAGGAAGGACUAAAUGAACUUACACCUAACGAAGAAAUAACUAGUGUUCCACCUGAACCACCAUUUCCUCAGGCAUUGAAUAAACGAAUGAAAUCAAACCACUCUUCUGAAAUUUAUGAAAUCUUUAAGCAAGUGAAAGUUAACAUUCCUCUAUUAGAUGCAAUCAAGCAGGUACCUUCAUAUGCCAAAUUUUUAAAAGACUUGUGCACUGUUAAGAGGAAAUUGAAGGUAAAAAAGAAUGCUUUCAUGGCCGAACAGGUAAGUACAAUUCUGUCUACUAAUAAUAAGUUGAAAUAUAAAGAUCCUGGUUGUCCUACUAUUUCUUGUAUUAUUGGUGAUCACAGAAUUGAGCAUACUUUACUAGAUCUUGGUGCUAGUGUUAAUUUGCUUCCAUAUUCAAUUUAUCUUCAACUUAAUCUUGGUGAGUUAAAAUCAACUUCAACUACACUUUUGCUUGUCGAUAGAUUAGUUAAAGUACUAAAAGGAAUAGUGGAAGAUGUUUUAGUACAAGUUGAUAAAUUCAUAUAUCUUGUGGAUUUUAUUGUCUUGAAAACUGAACCUGUUGUGAAUAAUUACAAACCAAUUCCUGUAAUUUUAGGUCGACCAUUUUUAGCAACUGCUAAUGCUUUCAUUAAUUGUAGGAAUGAUUUAAUGAAUUUAUCCUUUGGAAAUAUGACUUUGGAAUUGAAUGUUUUCAACAUGUGCAGGCAACCUAACGAAGAAAAUGAGAAUGAAGAUGAUACUAAUGAACAAAAGGAAUUACUUGAAUCUUGUAUUGGGGAAAAUAUUCAAAAAGGGGAUUUUUCUGAACUCUCUGAUGUUUGUUUAGUUAAUUCAAUUGAGUCAAAUAAGCAGCUUGAAUUUGAUAUUUCUAAUAUAAAUUUGUUGUUUGAUUCUGUGCAGACUUCACAAAAUUAUGAUGACGAGCCAAAAUUUGAGGAGCUUGGAAUUAUUGAAAAAACAGAACAGCCAGAAGCACCUAAAUUGGAGUUGAAACCUUUGCCUAAAGGAUUGAAGUAUGCUUUUCUUAGAGAAGAACAAACUUAUCCUGUUGUGAUUUCUUCUACUUUAAUAAGCGACCAAGAAGGUAAGUUACUAAUUGUUCUUAAAAAGCAUAAAAAUGCAAUUGGAUGGACUUUAAAUGAUAUUAAAGGCAUUAAUCCCUUAAUUUGCACACAUAGAAUUAAUUUGGAAGAAAAUGUUAAAACAUGUCAACAACCUCAAAGAAGAUUAAACCCAGACAUGAAAGAGGUAGUCAAAACAGAAGUCCUUAAAUAACUUGAUAUAGGAAUUAUCUACCCUAUUUCUGAUAGUAAGUGGGUAAGUCCUACACAAGUAGUGCCUAAAAAAUCUGGAAUCACUAUUGUUAAAAACAAAAAAGGUGAAUUAAUUCCAUCACGAAUUACAUCUAGUUGGCGCAUGCGCAUUGAUUAUAGAAAGUUAAAUGAAACCACUAGAAAAUAUCAUUUUCUAUUACCAUUCCUUGGCCAAAUCUUAGAAAGAGUAGUUGGACAUCCCUACUACUGCUUUUUAGAUGGAUAUUCAGGUUAUUAUCAAAUUCCUAUAACACUUGAAGACCAAGAAAAGACCACAUUUACAUGUCCUUUUGGAACAUUUGCAUUUAAAAGAAUGUCAUUUGGGCUUUAUAAUGCUCCUGCAACAUUUCAAAGAUGUAUGUUAAGCAUUUUUUGUGAUAUGGUUGAACAUUGUUUAGAGGUCUUUAUGGAUGAUUGGACUGUAUUUGGGAAUUCUUUUGAUGAUUGUCUUGAUAAUUUGGAGAAAGUUUUAAAAAGAUGGGUUGAAAAAGAACUCGUGUUGAAUUAGGAAAAAUGUCACUACAUGGUUACUUCUGAAAUUGUUUUAGGUCAUGUUGUGUCUGUUAAAGGGAUUGAAGUUGACAAAGCAAAAAUCAAAGUCAUAUCUAAAUUGCCACAACCAAAGACAGUUAGAGAUGUGCAAUCCUUUUUAGGACAUGCAAGAUUUUAUCAAAGGUUUAUAAAAAAUUUUAGUGCCAUAUCUAAACCACUUUGUAACCUCUUAUUAAAGAUCAACCGUUUGAAUGGACUGAUGAUUGCCAAAAAUCUUUUGAGAAAAUAAUUUUUCUUUUAACAUCUGCACCUAUUAUGCAAUCUCCUGAUUGGUCUUUACCCUUUGAAUUAAUGUGUGAUGCAAGUGAUUUUGCUGUUGGUGUUGUUUUAGUACAAAGAAGGGAUGAUAAGCCUUUUGUGAUUUAUUAUGCAAGUAAGACUUUGUAUAGUGCUCAAAUAAAUUAUUCUACAACUGAAAAAUAAUUACUUGCUGUGGUUUUUGCAUUAAAAAAAUUCCAUUCAUAUUUGCUUGGCUCUAAAUCUAUUGUGUUUAUUGACCACGCUGCUGUGAGAUAUUUGAUGAGUAAACAGGAUGCCAAACCGAGACUAAUUCGUUUGAUUUUGUUACUUCAAGAAUUUGACCUUACCAUCAAAGAUAAAAAGGGUGCCGAAAAUGUCGUUGCUGAUCAUUUAUCCAGACUCACAUCCAAAUUGUGCACUAUAUAAUACCCAUCAAUGAUUAUUUUCCUGAUAAAUUUUUAUUUUUUGUUACUUCAAUGCCAUGGUAUGCUAACAUUGUUAAUUUGCUUGUUACAGGUAAAAUGCCUUUUGCAAUGGAAUACUCAAGAGAAAAAGAAAUUUUUGUUGAAGUAAAAAAAUUUUAUUGGGAUGACAUUUAUUUGUUCAAAUAUUGCACAGAUCAAAUUUUUCGGCGAUAUAUUCCUAAUAAUGAGGUAAGUAGUGUCAUUAAUUUUUGUCAUUCUGAAGCAUGCAAUUGACAUUUUUCUUCAAGAAAAACAACUACUAAAAUUUUACAGUGUGAAUUUUAUUGGCCUACCAUAUUCAAAGACACAUGAAUUUUGUAAAACUUGUGAAAAAUGUCAAAAAUUGGGAUCAAUUACUAAAAGAAACAUGAUGCCCUUAAAUUCCAUACUUGAAAUUGAAAUAUUUGACUGUUGGGGAAUUAAUUUCAUGGGUCUGUUUCUAUCAUCUUUUGGAUUUGUAUAUAUAUUAGUUGCAGUUGAUUAUGUCUCAAAAUGGAUUGAAGCAAUUUCCUGUUGAAAUAAUGAUAGCAAAACUGUGGUUAAAUUUUUAAGAGAAAAUAUUUUAAGUCGAUUUCAAAUCCCUCUAGCCAUUAUCAGUGAUGGAGGUAAGCAUUUUUGUAAUAAGUCAUUUGAGUCUUUAAUGAAUAAGUACGGAAUUACAUAUAAAGUUGCUACCCCUUAUCAUCCUCAAAUAAAUAGUCAAGUUGAAUUAGCAAAUAUUGAGAUAAAACAAAUUUUGGAAAAAACGGUUAACCCAAACUGAAAAGAUUGGUCUCUUAAACUUAAUGAUGCACUUUGAGCCUAUCGUAUUGCAUUUAAAAUGUCACCCUAUCGAUUAAUUUAUGGUAAACUUUGUCAUUUACUUGUUGAACUUGAACAUAAAUCACUUUGGGCUAUUAAAGUCUUUAAUUCAAAUUUGGAUGAUGAUGGUAAUGUGAUAAAAUUGCAAUUGAAUGAACUUGAGGAAUUAAGGAAUGAUGCAUAUGAAAAUUCAAGAAUUAUUAAGGCAAGAAAAAAAUCAUUUCAUGAUAAAAGAAUUUUUCGGAAAACAUUUGAGAUUGGUAAAAAAAUGUUGCUUUAUAAUGCUCGUUUUCAUUUAUUUCCAAGGAAGUUAAAGUCAAAAUGGAGUGACCAAUUUUUUGUAAAAAAUAUAUAUUCAUAUGGGGCCAUAGAAAUUGAGAAUUCAAAUAACGGUGUCACAUUUAAAGUUAAUGGUCAAAGAUUAAAACCAUAUAUGGAACAUUACCCACGUGAAGAAGACAUUAAAAUCAAUUUGGGUAACUCACCAAUUCUUGAUUAAGUCAUUAAUGACUGAUUUUUUUUAUUUUACUGUUAUUUUGUCGUUUCAUUGUUUGAUUUUUUUUUCUUUCUCUCUAGAUUGAUGCAUUGUACAUAUUGUUUGUAGCAUUAUUUUUCUUGUUUAAGCGUGUUUGUUUGACAAUUGUACUUUCUCUCAUCAAUUUUCAUUAUACGUCAUGAGUACCUCAAUAAGAAAGAUCUUGUUCACACAUCUUAAAAGACUUUUACGAGUGAGAUUUCAUCUGAGAAGAUUGAUACAAAGCGGUAAAUCACAUCCACUUUGGGAUCUGCAACCACCAGAAUUCGUGUCUUAUGUUAAGGAUCUAGAAAGAUAACUCAGAGCAAUAGAGCGUGGUAUAUAUGAAUUUCAAUUGGAGCUUGAAGUUAACUCAAUCAGAGGACGAAUGUAAGUUUAUUAUUUUUUUCAUUGUGUGUUUCUUUUUGUUCGUUUCACGUUUGAUUUGAUUUUGCAGAUUUGAUAUUGGUGUAUUUUGGUUUAUUUUCCCAUAUAAAUGGCGGAUAACGGUACUUCGUGACUUCUUAAGUCGGUAUCUUCAGUUUCCCACAAUAAUAGAAACCCUAAAAUCAAAUAUAGAAGAAAUACAACAUAAACUGCAUAAGUAUUUUCCCUCUCUCCCUCAGAAUGCCCUCAGGAAAAUUUACAAAGUUUGUUGUGAACGACUGCGUUUGUUAAUGAUCAAUGACAUUCCUUCUGAUAUUCGUUGGUUAAUUAAAGCAAAGGUCCGAUUAGCAGGUGAGUUUUCUGAUCCAUUUAUUUCUUACAUGCCUGGUUUUGGUAAAAGUAUGUUUGCUAAGAAAAGGAGAGCUAAACGACUUGGCUCAAAAUGUCAUAACUGUGUAAGACUUGGUUGCAAACGAGAAGUUUGUAAAUCUUUAGGAAUGGUGUAUGAUACUCGUGAAGAUAAAAUUAAAUUCGUUAAAGAUGGCCUGCGUAAAGAAUCGUUGGGUGAUAUCUUACGACUUCUUGAGACGCAUCGAAGCGGACAUGUGCAAUAUGAGAUACACAGGUUAUGGAGACUAUUCCAAAUAGAAAGUGCACAGUUUAGUCUUGGGAAUUUGACUAAAAAAGACAUUGUUUGCCAAUUUAUAGGAAAAUUGGAUGGGAAGCCUAUCCUCGACCCAUAGAGGGCGUUCAAGCCGUUAUUGGAUGUAAAACGAGAGGAAGAUGUGAGCCACAAUCACAACUACCAGUAAAUAUCCUUUUAUUUUUAUGUUAUUUUAUCAUUUGCAUUAUUGCAUUUAGUGGUGCGCUUUUGUAUUUAAUAAAUUUUUGUUUUCUUUUACUGUUUGCUUUUUCUAAUCACUAUUUUAUUUUUAUUGUUUGCUUUUGAAUUAUUGAGCCACGAGCUCUACUCGUCAUUUGACAAAUAUGCCAACCCAUUUACAGUUGUUUCUCAUUAUUUCUUUCACCAAGAUCUUUAAAUAUGAGCUCGUUUUUCAAACACUCACAACUUGUUUUUGAAAGAUUAGUCCAAUGACAACAUCUUCGAGUAAACAAUUCAAAAAUAUUUGUGUGCCUUCUAGGUUUAACUAUGGAAAGUACAAAGAGUUCGUUCAUGCAGCUAUAGAUCUUGGUCGUGUCAUAGCAGACAGGAAACUACAUCUUGUAUAUAGAGGAGAUGAACGAGGGUUAUCAAGACUUGUCUCACAAGCUGUUUUUACUAAAGGAAGCCAAGUACUAGGUAUUAUCCCAAAAACCAUGAAACCUUUGGUAUGCCUGUCUAGCCCACCAAUUGGAGAAGAAUUAGUAGUAUCAAGUAUGCAAGAGAGAAUAUCUGAAAUGCUAAAUCAUGCUGAUGCUUUUAUUUUCUCGCCAGGAGAUCUUGCAACUUUUGAGGCACUGAUUACAUUUGCAUCUUGAGCCCACUUGAACAUUCAUAAAAAACUCAUCAGUUUGUUAAAUGUUAAUAAUUUUUAUAAUGGCUUGCCAACUUUUAUUAACCAUGCAAUAAAGAAUCAUUUUGUUCCAUACUCUGUAAAAAAACUCUUUAUCUCUGCUUCUACUGCUAAUGAGUUACUUGAUCUUUUACAAGUUUAUACACCAGAAUCAUAUCCCCAAACUUUUGCACUAGAUUGGUCGACUGAUGGUGGUAGCAGUAGCAGUAAUAAGAAGUGCGAAUUAAAUUUAACUCCUCGUCUGUAAAUAUUUUCUGUUGCAGUGUUCAUGUGCUGUCUUCUAAACUCUUUCUCUUUCCUUUUAAAACAUUGAGGACAAUAUCUCUUUCAGGUUGAGGGGAUGGAAUAGUUGAUAAUUGUGGAAUGUCUUAGUCCUGGUGAUGUUUUUACAAAAAAAAAAAAAAUUAUAAAGACUAACUUUAGACUAAAUUUGAGUCGAAGAUAGCUGGACAUGAAGAAUGCAGUACCUCUAGAAACGCAUUUUCUUAAUCUUAAGAGUGUUAUUUUAAAAAAAUUGACUUUUUCUUGUUCUUUGUUAUCCGCUUUUAAGCUUCUCCUCCUCUUCUUCUUUUAUUAUUAUUUUUCUCUUUUAUUAUUAUUUUUUUAUGCAUAUCUGUAAAAUUAUAAAAUGUUUAGAUUAGGUUGGGGGAUGGGGAUAGUUGACGUAUGUUUUUAAAUAUGUGUGUUUGCUUUUCUCUUUUCUCUUUUCUUUUCUUUUAAAAAAACUCAAAAAACAUUUUUGUUUUUGUCUAGAAUGGCUGUGUAAAGAGUCACGACUUUUGAGACGCAUCCUAAUAGUCUUGUUGUAUUAUAUUUUGAUUUUGAAAUUCAUAGUAAAUUAUUUUUUUUUCCUUUUCUUUGAAUUACUCGAAUUUGUGAACUCUCCACUUGGUUAUUAAGUCAUUUAAAUGUUUACUCAUUUAAUAAGUAUUAUUGAAUCAUUCUUCACACACACACUAUGACACAUACUAGUAGGUUGUAAGUUAAAAUUUUGAAGCAUUUAGGUCUUUUGAUUUAUUAGGAAUAAUAUCUAAGGUAGUAGAAAGUGUAUAUUGCAAAAAACAGAAAAAAGAAAAAAAAUGAAAAAGAAAAAAAAGAAAAAAAUGAUUUUUUUAAUUUUGCUAUAUCUAGAACCCGAGUAAUUAAGUCUGUAUGGGUGUUUCAACACCUAGUGCCCUAAGGUCAACUGGUCUGGGUAGAGGUGGCAAAAAUACCCGUCCGGUUUGGACCCGGACCGUACCCGGGCGUUGUGGGCCAGGUAUUACCCGGUCCGGGUAUGAAGUCGGGUCGGUCUUGGGCAUCACUUGAUAAACCCAGAACCCGAAUUUUAUUAAAAAAAUAUUAUAAAAUAUAUAUUAUUUUAAAUAUUUAUAUUUAUUUGACUCAUUUAUUCUACAUAUAUAAAGUUUUAAACACUUAACGUUUAUAUUUUCAUGUCAAAUUUUAUUGAAAUAAAUUUAAAACUUAUAAAAUUACCACAAAAUAAAAAAUAUAUACACAUAUAAUAUUAAAAAAUAUAAAUUUGGGUACCCGGAUUAAAACCCGGCCCAGACCCGGCCCAGGGUUUUGCCAUCCCUAGGUCUAGGAGUCACUGGCCUAAAGCUCGCUACAUGGGUUAUAGAUAUAUUGUUUGCUUAUUUAUUAUAAACCCGAGUAAUUAAGUCCGUAGGGGUGCUUUAACACCUAGUGCCCUAAGGGCAACUGGUCUGAGAGUCACUGACCUAAAACUCGCUACAUGGGUUAAAAAUGUAAUAUUUUAAAAUAUGUGUGAAUAAUCUACUGCCUAAAAAUAGAAUUUCUAAUGAAUUUUGGAACGAAAAUGUUGUUUUUCUUUUAAUGAAGCUCGUAAGUAUUGUGUUAAUUACUUGAGCACAAAAGAAUGUUUGAUGAUAUUCUGGAUAUGAGUGAACGUAGAAAAGGUAAAGAAAUUUGGGAGAGUUCAUUUAUUUAGUAGUUUAGACGAUAAAUGAACAACUAUUAACUUGCAUGUGAAUUUUGUAAAUCUUAAUUUGAUAUAACGCUUUAAUUGCUAGAGGGCUAGCAAUAAGCUGGUUGGGGGAUGAGAUUAGUAUUAAAAAUUGUUAAAUUAUCAAGCGAUAAUAAUGUUAUUUUGUGCUUAUAUUAUAAUUUAUAUUUGUUUUUAUGUAAUAAAUUAGGAGUUGUUAAUUAUGUUUUAAAUAUAUAUAAUUUUGUGUAUUUUUAUGUGUUUAUAGGUAAAAUAUUAAUUUCACGUAAUUCGAGGCUCCAAACAGAUAAAUGGAGGUCAAAUUUAGAUUCUGGAGGUCUGAAAACCUUAAGAUCAGUCAAGAUGGGCUUAAAAUUGGGCUUGUGUGAAAAGAAUUGACUUUUCUUGUUGAUCGAGCACUGAUUGGACGAUGAAAUGAGCUUACAAUAGAUAUGAGUGCAUGGGAUAGUUGGCAGUUUUGACUAAAUCGAAACCGUUCAUAAUUCAAUGGCCAUGAUUGUGCCACGUGGCAAUGGUUGGUGAAGCAAGUUGUAAAAUCCGAAUCUUUCUAUUCGGGUCGACUCGAUCCACCUAUUAACCUGCCAAAUCUUAAUAGUUCUUUGGCCAAAUCGGACGAGUCAAACGAUGCCAUGUGUGAUGUUGACUUUUGAAGUUUGACCAGUCGUUAGAUCUUGAUCUAAUGGUUGUGAUCAAAUCGAACGAGUCAAACAAUGCUAGGAGUGCAUGCAUGAAGCUUAUGAUGGACCGCAAAACACUAGAUUAUGAAUUUAUUUUUUAUAAAUAGAGCCUCAUUUUUAUGUUUUUAAUCAUCUCUCUACAUUUCUCUUCUUCUCAAAUUCUCUCCAUCUCCUUGUAAUCUUGAUUUUCAGGUGUGUUUUUAAUAUUUUGUAUAAUUAUUUUUAUAAAUAAAUUUAGUUUUAUUUUCAAUUUUAGUGUUUUUAUUACUUUUAAUUAUAAGUAAUUUAAUUUUAAUAUUUCUUUUUAUUUCAAUUAUGCUUAACUAAAUUAUAUUAGUAAGGGUAAGGUGAAACUCUUAGGAAAUAAAUAUGAUUUAAUCAAAUUCUAUUUUUAAUUUUAUAAAUUAAAUUAUUUUCUAUUUAAUUUUAUACAUAUUUUAUAUUUUGAAAUUUUGAUUUAUUGUAGACAAACAAAGAGAUUUUGGCAUAAUAAAUUCUUAAUAUCUUAAUAUAAGGUAUGAAAAAAUGGUAUUUUGACUUAUUGUAGACAAAUUAAAUUUUGGCAUAAUAAAUAUUUAAUCAAUCAUAAAAUUAAAGAGAAAAUAAUAAUAAUUUAUAUAAUUAAUCUUUUGGGCAAUAAAUCUAAAAAAAUGGCAAAAGGAAUUUAUUAAGUUUUAUUUACUACUAAGAGUGGAUCCACAACCCUAACUAGUUCAAUUUCAUAAUUUCAUUUAAAUUAAGUUAUUUAUAUUCAAGUUUUAAUUUCAAUUUUUAGAUAAAAUAAAAUAAACAAAUUAAAUCUUUUCUCUGUGGAUCGACCUCGGACCAUAAUAUAACAAGACACUCUUAUACUUGGGAGUUAAAAAUUACUUUUAAGUUCUAUCAAAUCUAACUAUGAAUUAAGACAAACCAAAAGCAGCUUUAUUCAUAUAUUAAACAAAUAAUAUAUAUCUGAAUAAAUUGUAUCACUCUAAUACAUAAAUAUCAAGAAUGAUUUCAUACGAUAUUCUUAUAUAUUAAUAUGAGAUGGCUCUGAUACCAAUUGUUGGAGAAAAAUCUAUUUUUUUAAUUUUUAUAAAAACUUUUAGGACCGAUCUCAUACAAUAUAUAGGAAUACGUAAUCUAGAAAAUCAUACCUUGAUAAUUUAAUUUGGCUUUUUCGCUGAAUUAGUUUAGGCUCCCAGAUCACGAUUCGUCACCACCACGCCUGUUAGAUCACGAUCCGUCACCAUCACGUUGGUUAGAUCACGAUUCGUCAUCAAAUAAUCUUUCAUGUUAUGACUCAACUUUGAUCUACACUUGACGUGUGUGUGCAUUUUUCACUACUAGAAGCAACUAGCUAGAGAAAAUAUUUCUCUCACAAUUAGCGAGAAAAAAUCUUUUUCUCUAAUCUUUAUAAUGUAGCCUCUAUCUUUUUUCGGGAGAAAAAAAGCCCUUUUAUAUCUUUAUCUAGUGGAAACCCUAGGCUCUAUAAUAAAAACCAAAAGUCAAGUUACUUGCUUUUUCUAUAGGGUGUCCACCUUAUAAAAUAACAUAAAGCCUCUUACACACAAGCAUAUUAAAUGGAGUCUCCCACUAAAUGAUAUAUUUAGGCUUUUGACCCAAAUAACUAGUUAUCUUACUUAUUAAUCCAAUAGUGGUGCAGUCAAUUAAAUGAGCUAAUCCGGGGAUCAUUUGGCAACAUAUAAUAGUGGCUACAAUAAUUAGGUCUGUAAUUAAACUAGCCAAAUUAUUUAAUUCUAAAUCUACUCCACUAAAAUAUUAGAAUUUGCCUCCAUAAUUGUAUGCUAUCUAGGAUAGUGUUCUCGAAUAAUAAUUCAACUCAUGUCACAUUAAUUUCUUUACUACAUAAUCUUUUGUACCACAUCGUUAAUUAAAUCGAUAUCUCAACUGUCCAAUCGAUUUAAUUACAUCUUGUUCCUUAAUAAUUACUAAUUUUCUCUAAUGAUAAUUUUUAUCAUACUAAAUAUAUUGACACACUACGACAAGAGAAUUCUGUGAUCAAGUUCCUUUUCUUAAAUAUGUUGGCAGAUAAUCCCAACAUGAACAAUAUGAAGUCAUCAUGUACGUGUGCAGGACUUUCUUGGCCAUCUCAAUUGUAUUCGAAAGUCUUGCUUUCUUUUGCCUUUUUUUUUUUAAAUUAAGAAAAGAGCAAACCGUCCAAUACGAGCAAACUACUUCUUGGAAGAGGGGACCUGUUAAUUAUUUUGCAGAGCACCUUUUUUUUUAAAAAAAAAAAAAACCAUCCAAUCCGAGCAGACUUCUUCUUGGAGGAGGGGGACAUGAUUAUUUUGCAGAGUACCUAAUAUUUUGCAUUUCAAAUAUGCUGUUGAAAAUCUUCUAUAAAUUGACAAGACAUAAAACCAAAGAAGCUAAAGAUUCAAGAUUUCUGUAGCAGGAUUGUGAGGGAGAAGGAUGGUGAGUGGGUGACCCACAAGGGUAAAACGCUACAAGCAGAGAAGGAAUCAUCAAGGAAAGUGGCCGGCCAGGCGGUGUCUUAAACUUUCUUUGGUAACAGGUAAAACAUCCGACCCCUUGCUUUUGUGUUAAAAGUUGGGAAAGGGCAAGAAAAAUACGCAUGUUAAGGAUGAUGACUCGAUCUAAAAAUUUAUCAAUCCAAAAUUAAAGUUCGGAAUGAAUUUAACGUCAUAAAUUAAUUUUUACAACAGUAUAUAUUGAUUUACAAUAUUGUAAAUCUGUCCUAAAUUUUAAUUCUGAAUUUGAUAAACACUCUCUUUAAUGAUUAAACAAUAUGCUAAGUACAUUUUUGAAUUCUCUCAUACCUUUUUUCUAAAAUAAAAAAAUUAAGGAGUACCACAAAAAUUUUGAUGAAAAUUCAUCCUAAUUGCUUGCAAAGAUGUAAAAUCAUGGAUGAUGGGUAACUCGUUUUUUCAAAGCCAAUCUCUGUAAAAGAAUUCCUAAGAUUUUGAUUAUUAACCGAACUAGACACUAUGAAUUAAUUAACGACAAAUAAAUGGAUCAUUCUAUGAUGCGCUGAUUAAAAUGACAGCAUCAAUACCCUAUUUAAACGUGAUUUAUGUAAAUGAAAUAUAAAACAUAUAAAUUUAAUAUAAUAUUUAUAAAUCAACAUUAAAUGUAAAAUAAAAUAUAAAUACGUAAAUUUAAUAUAACCCAUGAAACCGACCCAACCCGUAUGAUUUUUUUGAGGGUUGGGUUAGGUUGAAAAUUUUUAACCCAACCCAACUCGUCAACCCGUAUAGGUAAAAAAUUUAAAAAAAAUUAAAAAUUAAAAAAUAAAUAUAAAACGCAUCUCAACAACUUUCUCAAUUAUAGAACCCUAAACUCAAAAUCUCUUGUUUAAAAAACAGCUGCUCGUCUGCUCGCGCAUAGAACACAACAUCACAACUCACAAGCUUUCUUGAAAAGCUGCCUAGCUGCACAUCGUCUCAUGCAUAGGUUCUUUCUUCUUUCUAAUUUACUGAUUUAUUAUUGUUUUGAAACAAGCUGAUCAAUUUUUUUUGUUAAAAGGUCUAGUCCAUUUGAUUUGGUGCUUUAUAAUAUUUUGUAUUGAUAAAAGUUGGUCAAUUUUUUGUUGUUAUGAUGGUGUCAAGCUCAAUCGAAUUAACAUGAAUAUAAUAAUUAUUAUUAUUACUAUCUUUGGGAAAAGACUUUUCGACAAACAUCUGCUGGUUAUUGUUCUGCAGCAAUAUUUUCAGUAUUAAUAAGUCAUGCUCUUUUUUUCUCUUAUUCAUUGGUCUCACUCUUUAGACUUUGAUGUUUUGUAUUAAACAAGACUUUAAAUUUAUGUUUCAUUAGUUAUGUACUAAUAAUUUGAUUGUUAAACUUUGAAAUGUUGAAUUUGUUGUAAGGAUUUUAGUAUUUGUGUUUUUUUUAAUUUUCAAUUAAUUAAUUAAUUUUUGUUAAGACCAUAAAAAUGAGCUUUUUCAAAAGUCCAACCCAACUCGACCCAACCCACAAUUCUGUGAGUUGGGUCGGAUUGGGUUGAAAAAUGUAAUGGGUCGGGUUGGGUUGAAUAUUUUCAACCCGUUCUAUAUGCGGGUUGGGUUGGGUUGGGUUGAUAAUAACCCGACCCAAUCCGACCCGUGCCCAGCCCUAAACUACAUCAUCAAAAUCUCUCUAAAUUGGUAUAAUUUAGUCGGUAGUCAAGGACCUAAAUGAUUAAAAUGCAAUCAUUGAGAACUUAAGUUAGGCAAUUUUGAAAAGGACCCUAAAAAAUAGAAGGAUAAUGAUAUUUCAACAUCACAAGUUUUGUUAACCCACUUCACUUAAGAAAUAAUUACAAUAAGUUCACAUUAUUUUUAAAAAACUUAAAUAAAGAAAAAUUUAAAAAUUUAAUUAAAUAAAAUUAAAUAAAAUUAAAUACCUAAACUACUAGAUACAAAAGCUCGUAUUUUUGGGAUAAUUUGGUUAUUUUACAUUAUAAGGUUAAAAUAGUUAUAAAAAAAAAAAACUUAUCUUAAAGUGGUUGUAAUAAUCAAAGAUCAUAUUUUAAAAAAUUUUAAAUCCUUAAUUGUCUUAAUUUUUUGUUAAUUUGUAUAUUUGAAAAAUAAUGUAAACUUGUUAUAAUUAUUUAAUUUUUAAAACUGAGAUGGAUUUAUAAAAAUAAUGAGAUGAAGAUAUCCACACCCAAAAUAUAAUAACAAUUUGUCAAUUUUCAUUUUUCUCUUUUGUUUUCUAAUUUUUGUUAUUUUUUUAGUUCUUUUGUUUUGUUAUGCUUAUUUAGAAUAUUUUGCUUUCAUUGCCAUGUUUUGCCGUCGUUCUUUUGUGUGUUUAUUGUAGUAUUUUUUUUUCCCAAAAAUAAUGAUGGUUUAAUAAAGUUACUAAGUUUACGUUUAAGUUUUUAAGUUAUGAUUUGGUGAUAGGUUUGUGUUGUAUUUACAGGACACUAUGUCAAGUUUGUUUUUUUCCUUUCUUGAUUCAAAUGUGGUCCUCACUUAAAAUAACUUAGGUGGAUAAACUAUAGCAUACUGAAAAAAAUUCUUCAAAUUUCUUAUCAUAUCUUAGUAUGCGCCAUGCGGAGCCAUUCCUUUUUUAUUUUUCGUUGGGUCAUAGUAAUUGUAGUUGCUUUGUUAAGUUGUUAGCCAUUGAACUAAUCAAGAUUGGGAGUCUUUGGGUUCUUCUAAACAAAAAAAAAAAAGGUGUUGUAUUUAAUUUAACCCAUAUGACUUACUUGCCAUACUUGGGCCUUGUUUUGUGUGUAUAUAUAUAUAUAGAUAGAUAGAAUAACUUUGCUCCUUUUUAAUGCAAUUUAUUAUUAUUCUUCUACAUUUUACAAAUAUAUAUAUCACUCAUCACUCGUUCACGGAGCAUCAAACACGAUCCACUACUUCUGUACACUCUCGCUAUUUCCACCUUAACGCCGUUGGGAAACAUCACUAUCACUAUGUGCAGAAAUUAAGUCGAGCCACAGAGGUAGAAUGACGUGUCAAUAACGACGUGUUAAAACUUUUUGUUAACAGAACACUCUAUAUAUAUAUAUAUAUAUAUAUAUAUAUAUAUAUAUAUAUCCCUUUCAUUUCUGCUAUCCUGGUGUUACUCGUCUAAAUUUCAUUUUCAAAUAGUAUUACUACCCACUGACUGUUCGCGGACCAAAUUGAUACAGAUAUAGCUCUCAACCUCUGUUUCUCGUGUGUGUGAAUCAGAAAUGGACAGUCUCACGGGCAUCGGAUUCCGGCCAUUGGAUGAAGAAAUCAUUGAUCUCCUGAAGAAGAAGAGGCUUGACCCUGGUUUCUCUGUCCAAACGAUCAAGGAAAUUGAUUUUUAUAGCUUUGACCCCUGGGACCUAGCCGGUAAGUAUCACGCCCAACAAGCACUAUGCGAUGUAAUUGGAGUUAGUUCAGUAGCUAAUAUCUUGGGUUAAUUUCAGUAGCUAAUAUCUUGGGUUAAUGAAUUUUUGUCAUGCAGGGCUUUAUGAGUUUCAGUCUAUGGAAGAUGUGUGGUACUUUUUCUCUAAGCCUAAGUACAGGGGUGCCAAGCGGAAUCGGUAAGUGUUAGAGUGCAAUUUAUGCACUAGUUUUGUAUUGUUUACUUCUUUUAAUAUCGAUAUUUUGCACUUAAUAAUAGUGAUUUACUUGUGUUUUAUUUUUGUAGGUGCAAUUCUAUUGAUUGGUGCUAAAAUUGAGCUACAAGAUGAUGUUUGAGAAUGAUUGUUUUCCGGGAGAAAUUAUGAGCUUCAGAAGAACUUUGUUGAUAAGCCGUGGGCGCGUGCUGUCAACUAAGGACCUGCAGUUUUUAUUUUAACGUGUUUUAUCUUUUUUGUUAUUUUUGUAAUUUUGAAUUUAAUAUUUAGAUAAUAUUUUAGAUAUUAGUAAUUUAUUUUUGGAGAAACUCUAUAAGAGGAAAGAGACGUGAAAAACACGAGGAGGGGAUUUUUUUUGAAGAGAGAAGAAGAAGAAACCCCAAAAAAAAUUUUCUCUUCUCUCUAUGAAGAACUAAACCUAUUAUUCUGGUUGAAGGUUAAUAAAGUUUUGAUUCAUCAUUACUGUGAGAUCUUUCUUAUGCUUUAAUUGUUUAAUUGCUUUUUGGGUAUUUGUUUAUUCUCUAAAUUAUUGUCAUGAUUAUGUUUGUUAAUUAGAUAAUUGGCCACUAUUUAAUUAUCAACUUAAUCGAUUGUCAAUUAAAAGAUUCAUCGUAUAAAGAUUUUAAUGUUUGUGACAAAUAGCAUAGCAGUGCGUUGUGUUAUAAGAAUAAACAAUCUAACUUAAAUGAACCAUCAUAUGCGUUUGUUGAUUAUGAUUUGAGUCUCUCUGAUUUUUCAGGCCGUCAAUUGAUUAAAUCAUAUGAUCGUAUCUAGAGUUGUCUAUUGAUUAGGGAAAUAACCAACGGUCGUACCUUGGUUAUCGACUAGUUAAGGAGAGAUUGGCUAUUAGAGGGUCUCGGUUGCUAUAACCGGUCUAUUCAUAAGUAGUAAUGAUUUAUAUUUGAAUCAAUGAUUAGUAGUCGAAUCAAGCUGAGUUAAUUCCUUCAACCAGAGCUUUUCCCAAUUUGAAUUACAAUUUUAAUUUGCAUUCUUGUUAUUUUAAUUUGAUUUUUAUUAUUGUCAACAAUCCCCUCAUUUUGCAUUUUACAUUUUAAAAGGAUUUAAAUAAUUACCGAUCUCUGUGGACACGACCCUGCUCAAUCACUAUACACAAUUUAUUUAGAGUAUGUAUUUAUUUUUGCUGGCUUUGACAACCAUCAGUCAGGACAACAACAGCAUAGAAAAACCAAGUCAGGAACCUGGAAAAAGACUGACAGUAGUUCUGAGAUGAAGCGGAAAAACAGUACUGAGGUGAUUGGUAACAAAGACUAUCUUGUUUUUAUUCACGAUGAUGCUACUUCCGAGAAAGCUAACACGAAGUGGCUUAUGCACGAGAUAGCUAUUGCGGAUGACCCUCUCUAUAAGGUGCGAGCUUUGUUUAGAAUAAAUUGGACAUGUUUUGCAAAUACUAGAAAGUUCGAAUUUAGGAUCCUAUUGAGCUAUGUGGUUUAAUAGUUUAGUGAAAACAUAAUUAAGAGUACAAUAGUCAAUAAUGUGAACUUAUUCUAUUCCCGCUUUUUAUUUGUGUAGGAAAACUUUGUCGUGUGCGCCUAGAAGGAAAAAAUUAUGAUAAAAAGCUUGGUGUUUCAACUACUCAUAAACAUCAAUCAAGUCAAGAUUUUGCUUCUAGUUCUAGCAUCAAUGUUGUGGAAGAUAUUUCUCUAGAAUCUGCUCAACCAUCAGAUCGACAUUUGGUUUCUAAAACAAAUCAAGUUGUAGAAAAUAUAUUUUUGAAGAAUCUGCUAUAAAGAGAACAAUUGAGAGAUGGAAAAAUGGACACGCACACUUUUUAUUCGAUGAGAUGAGAGUAUUUAUAUACAGUCAUUGGAGCUACUUACAGCAAGUAUAAAUUUAUGCCUAGAGUGUUGGAGAAACAAUUAUAAUAAUUGAUACAAUCACAAUCCUAAAUUGAUGGCAUUGCAUUUGACUUGACUUAAACCGUGGGAUGAGAAUCUGGAGAAUCAUUUGAUUUGGCUUGAUUUUCGGGAUGAGAAUCUGGAGAAUAAUGUGCUGGUUUUGGAGAAGAAUGUGUUGGUCUAUUAUGCCCCCGCAAGAUGGUACUCCCAUUGGAGAUACCAAUCUUAUUUCGAAGUGUUGUAAAGAGUUUUCGAGAUAGCGGUUUGGUGAGAAUAUCCGCAAGCUGAUCCUUUGUAGAGAUAUAAGAGACACCAAAGUUACCUUUAGUGACAUGAUCACGAACAAAAUGAUAGUCUAUUGCUAUGUGCUUCAUUUUGGAAUGAAAAACAGGAUUGACUGAAAGAUAUGUAGCGCCAAUAUUAUCGCAAUAAAUGGUAAGGCAGCGAGAGAGAGAGACACUGAGUUCACCAAGUAAACUUUUUAGCCAAAGAACUUCUGCAGCAGUAGAUGCAAGAGCACGGUACUCAGCCUCUAUUGAAGAUCGAGCAACUGAUUUUUAUUUGCAGGAACACCAAGAAAUUGCAUUACCUCCAAAUUAGAUUAUGUAAGUUGUAGUGGAGGUUCGAUCAUCUUUGUUACCAGCCCAGUCCGCAUCAGAAAAAGCGCUGAGAUGUAAAGGUUGAUUGUGCUUAAGGAAGAGCCCAUGAUGAAUGGUAUGCUUUAGAUAUCGAAGGAGCCGCUUGACUGUAGACCAAUGAGUUUCUGUAGGUUGAUGCAUGAACUGAGCAAGUUUAUUUACUGUAAAGGAAAUAUCCGGACGUGUAAGCGCAAAAUAUUGGAGUCUACCAAUGACUUGUCGAUAUUGAGUAGCAUCCGAUAAUGGAGAGCCAUUAUUUAGACAAAGUGGUUGAGCUGUGGAUAAAGGUGUGGUGACUUCUUUGGCACCGGCCAAAUUUGUCUUAGUGAGCAAAUCACGGAUGUACUUAUGUUGUGUGAGAAACAACCCCAUGGUAGUGGGAAUCACUUCAACAUCAAGAAAAUAGUGAAGGUCUCCUAGGUCUUUGAUGGAGAAUCGAACGGAAAGAGCAUGGAGAAAUUGACUGAUGAAGGAUCUACUAUUACCUAUGACAACAAGAUCAUCCACAUAUACUAGAAAGUAUACAAUGACAUUAGUGCUCUUAUAAAUAAAAAGAGAAGUAUCAGAUUGUGAAUUCUCAAAACCAUAAGAGAGCAGAAAAUUUUUCAGUUCAUUGUACCAAGCACGUGGUGCUUGUUUGAGUCCAUAGAUUGCUUUUUGGAGCUUGCAUACAUGAGAUGGAUAAGUGGAGUCAACGAAACCAAGAGGUUGCUGCAUAAACACCUCCUCGCCAAGAGUGCCAUGCAAAAAAGCGUUAUUAACAUCCAAUUGUCGAAUUUUCCACCCAUAAGAUAAGGCAAGACUCAAAAUUAAGCGAAUUGUAGUUGGCUUAAUUACAGGACUGAAGGUUUCUUGAAAGUCCAAACCAGGCCUUUGAUGGAACCCUUUGGCAACAAGACGAGCUUUAUAACGGGCAAUGGUACCAUCGGGAUUGCGUUUAAUACGAAACACCCACUUACAUCCGAUAAUAUUUCGAGAAUCUGUGGCAGGUACAAGGACCCAAGUCCCAUUUUUUAACAGAGCAUUGAUUUCAUCACUCAUAGCAACACGCCACCGAGGAUCUUUAAGGGCUUGAGAAGAACAAGUUGGCUCAAUAGGUUCAGGUAGAGAAUGCUUGGUGGUGGUGUGAUGAAGUUGUUUAGGCUUAAAGAUAUUAUGUUGUGAUCUGGUCACCAUAGGAUGUGUAUGAAUUGGCUAUUGGGAAAGAGAUUGUGGAGGCGUAGGUGGCAAGGGAACAAGAGGUGAUGGACAAGGUAAUUGUGAAGGGGAAACAGUACCUAAUUCAUUGUCAGUAGAAGCAGUAGAUGUCGAUGUUGUGGUAGCACUGUGAGAACCGGAGACUAUAAAAGAAUUUGUUGAAGGAGAAGAUGGGGUAUGAUUAUUAACAUUACAUCUAAUAGUAGAAUAAAGGGGGAAUAAUGUGGCUAGUGAAGAGGAGGGAGAGGACCAUGUAAGAAUAAGAGAUGAUAGGGCCGUAGAAAGUAGUUAGGAUUUAUAAUGAAAUGGAAAUUCAUGUUUAAUGAAUUGAACAUGACGAGAGAUAAAGAGCUUUUUAGAAGCCAUGUCAUAGCACUUAUAUGCACUUUGAUUGCUGGAGAAACCAAGAAAGAUACAUGGGGUUGAUUUGGGUUCUAAUUUAUUUUUAGUGUAAGGUUUAAGCCAAGGAAAACAUAGGCACCCAAAAGUACGUAAUUUAUUAUAGUUAGGCUUCAUAUGUAAAAGACAUUCAAAUGGAGAUUUGUAGCCAAAAAUUUGUGUAGGUAGUCGAUUAAUUAAAUAAGUGGCCGUUUGGAAGGCAUAAGGCUAAAAAGAUAAAGGAAGAGAGGCACUAUGGAGAAGGGUCAGCCCAGUUUCAACAACAUGUUUGUGUCUCCUUUCAGCAGAACCAUUAUGUUCGAGGGUGUGGGGAGGGGUUUUAAGGUGUUGAAUGCCAUGAGUGUCAAAGAAAGAUUUUAAUGCGACGUAUUCUCCUCCACCAUCAUAAUACACAAUAACUAUGGAGGUUUUAAAGAAAUUUUCAACAAUAGACUUAAAGCGAAUAAAAAUUGAAGCAACAUCAUACUUUUUAUGCAAUGGAUAAAGCCAAAUAUAUUUUGUAAAAUGAUCCACAAAAAUUACAUAAUAGCUAAAUCCAUCAGUUGACAAGACAGGAGAAGGACCCCAAAUAUCUGUGUAGACAAGAUCAAGAGGUUUUCGACUCUGUAACGAAGAAGUUCCGAAUGGUAAAUGAUGACUUUUAUUACAGUGACACGACACACAAUGAAAAUCAGGAGAUAAUUUUGACGACAAGGACAAUAAAAUUUGAACUAGCUAAAUAACUGGUGAUUUUAUUGGAUGGGUGACCAAGUCUGUUGUGCCAAACUUGAGAAGAUGCCUUUAUUCCAGUACAAGCUAAAGGAGUUGACGAAGAAGACAAGAUAGUUGAGUUCACAGUGCUAGGCCAUUCAUAAACAUCAUGCUUGUUCUGACCCUGAAGUAGAUGUGCCCCCGUGCGUAAAUCCUUCACAAUAAAAGAAUUAGAAAAGAAUUCAACUGAAGUUUGGUUAGUUUUACAUAACUUUGAAACUGAAAUUAAAUUCUUGUGCAUAGAUGGAGCACAUAAGACAUUGGAAAGUGAAAAAGUAUUAGAGCAAGCAGGUAAGGUAGUAGAACCAGCGUGGGAGAUUGACAGACCUGAACCAUCACCGAUCAUAAUGUUAUCAGGGCCUUAAUAGUUUUGAUGGUGAGAUAGAUUUGCGAUAUCUGAAGUGACAUGAUGAGAAGCUACUGAAUCCAUGAGCCAAUUGCCAUUAUAUCGGUUGUAUGAUUUGCCGUUGGAGCUCGGCGCAGGUGAGGGAAAAGAGUAUAACAUCUCCGUGCUCCAUGGCCCUGUUUGAGACAAUACUGACAAAUGACUGGAGUUUGGCUACUCGUAUUUGGUGGUGGCUGUUGACGAGGAUCAAUUUGAUUUGGAUUUGGAGGGAAUGGAAGGAGGCCACGAAUUUGUUGAGUUGAGUUUGGUGGGUGUUAGACCUUGAUCGAAAUUAAAUAAACCAAGACUCCCCAAGAUUUAUCUAAACACUCUGAUGUUUGACUAAAAAACACUUACGUAAUCGCAAAAGAAAACAAAGAUGAAUCUAAAACCAGCAACCAAAAGAGAAACAAACUUAAGUGGUUCAGCCUGAAGAUGGCUUACAUCCACUGAAAAACAAAGCAACAAUCUUUAUUCUAUCACCAGGAAUAAGCUACAAGUUUAUAGAUGAAGUUACAAGCAUCACACACACCGAUCUCGUUUCUCCUAAGGCUAUAUAUACACACUCAAGAGACCCCAGAAAGUUCCCAUGUCAGUCAGCUUCCUUCUGUCACCAUAAACCCUGAUUUUUCUCGCUCUUGUAACAGAACAUAACAACCUCUGAGGCACGUGUUUGCUUUAUGUUAAAUGAAGGCUCCAAAACGGCACUUAGCGAAGUCGUAUUGUUAAGUGUAAGCAUGUGAUGGCCACGUGCUUCACUUACUUACAGAUAGAUGAACAAAUAACUUUGUCAUACAACUUUGAAUUACCUCAACCGACUAGUCGUAUUCUAUUCCAAUCACGAACUGACAUGACGUAUGAGAUUCUGGAAAUCAGUUUCAGAGCUCACACUCCAACAUUCUCCACCUUGUGCUUGAAACCCUCAUGAACCUGCUACCUUUCUUUCUAACUACCUGUCACUUAUUUUUGACAGAUUCCUGCUAAUUCUAAACAAAGCUUGAAAUUAGCAGUUGUCACUGGUUUAGUUAGCAUAUCUGCAACAUUCUUGUCUGUAUGGAUCUUCUGCAGCUUCACUGUUGCUUUUAACACUUCCAACCUUAUGAAAUGCAGCUUGAUAUCGAUAUGCUUGGUCCUCUCAUGGUGUGUUUGAUUUUUGCUCAAACAUAUAGCACUUUGGCUAUCACAGUUUAUCAUUAUUGAGCUUUCCAAUUGACAGUACAGUUAUUGAAUAUGAAAAGGUACCCUGUAAGAGAUCUUCCUCUGUCCAGAUCCCCAACAUAAUCAGAGUCCACAUAACCAACAAUCUGACUGUCAUCUUGUCUUUGUCCUCCAUACAUUAACCCAUAUGUUACUGUCCCAUUUAGAUACCUGAGAAUCCAUUUUACAGCCCUCCAGUGUUCCUUCCCAGGGUUUGACAUAUACCUGCUUACAACACUCACAACAUAGGAUAGGUCAGGCCUAGUUAGGACCAUAGCAUACAUCAGGCAGCCUACAGCACUUGCGUAAGGUACAUUCAUGAUCUCAGAUAUUUCAGCUUCUGCUUUUGGGCCCAACUGAUCUGAUAAUCUGAAAUGAGGUGCUAAGGGUGUUUGAACUGGCUUUGAGUUUGCCAUUCCAAACUUAUCAAGUACCCUUCUGAUAUAUUCUUCCUGACUAAGAAACAAAGUUCCAGCUUUUUUGUUCCUGUGUAACUGCAUCCCCAGAAUUUUCUUUGCUGGACCAAGAUCCUUCAUAUCAAACUCUCCCUUAAGCUUCUGUUUCAGGUCUUCAAUUAAGCUCAUGCUCACACUGGCAAUAAGCAUAUCAUCUACAUACAAUAUCAGGUAAACCAUCAUCCCUGAAUCCUCUUUGAAGUAAACACAGCACUCUAAGUUACACCUCUGAUAUUUAUGCUUUAACAUAAAGCUGUCAAAUCUGAGGUACCAUUGCCUUGGAGACUGUUUGAGUCCAUACAAAGACUUCUUCAAAUGACAAACCCAGUCAGCCUUUGAUUCUUCUAUAAAGCCUUUAGGUUGUGCCAUUACAUUAUGCUCUUGUAAUUCCUCAUGUAAAAAUGUUGUUUUUACAUCCAUUGUUCUAAAUGCAUGUUGUUUACAUCCACCAGUGACAAGAUGAUUCUAAUAGAGGCAUGCCUCACUACAUGUGAAAAUACCUCAGUAAAGUCAAUGCCCUCCUUUUCACUUACCACCAACACGCGUCCACCACUAGUCCAUUAGCGUUUGUGUAAGUAAUGAAUUUGGGUCCUGCUAACUUAGAGCUUAUGUAAGUUACAUUAAUAACAAAUUGAUACUUGCCUUUAUUAUAAAUGUUUCUUUUAUUCAAAUAUCCAUUUAUUUCUUCAAUCAAGUCCUCAUGCCUUUGAUUAUUAAUUCUGAACUGCUGGAUGAUUUCUUGUCCAUCUCUUCUAUAUUUAUUCUUAAAACUUUUUAAAGUUUUUGCUAUACUUUUAUAAAGGUCUAAAUGAUUAUUAUAUUUAUAAAGAUAUAUAAAUUCUGAAUAUAUAUUAACACUUGCAUUUACAAUUCCUCGUCUCUCUUGAGAAAUAAACCAAUUUUUUUCUUCUAACAGCUAUAUAUAUUUCGAAUCUAUUUUUCCAUCCAAGGUACUCACCAUCAUCUAUAUUCUCAUCUCUCACCACUCUCAUCUUCAAACUUUCUUUACAAAACUUUCAAUUAUGAAAUAAAUAAAACUCUUUUUUAGUGAAAUUAUCAUCCUCUAUGCAUCUUAUUUUGAUUUUAGCAAUAUAUCAAGAAAUAUCUCAUAAUACUUGUGUUAAAAGAAGAAGAUUUCAUUCUACUAAGCACUUUUCCUAAGAUGAUUGUUAGAAAGUCAUUCGAAUAGUUCCUAUUAGACUAGUUUGCAGUGUGUUAUGUUGGGCUGUGUGGAACAAUUGUUGAGGUGUUUUGUAAGACAUGGAAGUAUGGCGAUGCCAACCAUGAACCAAUUUAUGGCUAGAGAGAACUAGAGAAUCUAUUCAAGAAUUUCGAGGCUAGUACACUAAUUAGUACUUCGAAUUAUUUUCUUAUAUUUUUUCACAAACAAAAGCAUGUCGAGCCUCGAUUAUUUUCUAAAAUUUAUAAGAUGUGAGGAGAUAAUAGUAACUCACUUUUAUAAAAGUGGAACGAUCAUUCAAUAAGUUUUUAGAUGCAAUUGAUAACCUGGAUUUUAUUCAAGAAAUCUGAUGAUACUUUAAAAGAGACUAAUUUGAAACCGGUGGAUGCAUCCAAUCCUGAACAAAUUGAUCGAGCUAAGGAUGUGCCUCUUCUAGUUAAGUCUAAUCCGAAUAAGGAUGUUGCUCCCCCUGCAAAUCUAAUCCAGAUUGGAAUGUAAAAUUUUAGUGAUAAUUUAAAACAUAAAUUAGGUAAAUUUUAAUUUACCCUCUAUUGAGAAUGAUAAUCUUCAAUAUAUCUCCCAUUAUGAAAAUAUUAAUUUACUCUUAUUUAUUAUUAAGUAGAUAAAAGAAAAUAAUCAAUGCACCCUCAUUUACCAUUGUCUUCCAAAUAAAAAUGAGUAAAUUAAUAUUUUUAUAUUCUUAAAGAGUACACUAACCAUUGUUAUUUUAUUUAGGCGAUGAGUAAAAGUUUAUCUUAUAAAUCAUAUUAUGUGUGUAACAAAAUAGACACAAAUCCUACAGCAAACAUUUGUAUAGAACUCAUGAAAAUGUUGGAUCAAGCUACGGUGCAACAGGUGCACCAUACCUCUCUUUUUGUCUUUUUGUGCUAUCACCAUUAGAUCAAUACAAAAGUAGUUUCAAGGGUGUGGAUGUGUUUAUUUGGUUAUUAAUAAUACAAUUCCUAUUGUUUGUUGAAAAUUUAGAAAAGUCAAAGUUCAUAAAAUUUUGCGCCAACUUCUUUCUCUCCAAAUACUUUUAGUAAAAGUCACUAAUCAUCAAUUUAUCAUCAUUGUGUUAUAGUACUUAUUCUCACAAAUUAUAAUUAAGAGACCAAAUAUGCCAAAUGCAUCAACAAAGACAACAAAAACUAAGAUGAAUUUUGAAUUUUUCUUAAUGCUCUUACUUUUGGUCAUUUGUGAAAAUAUUUUUUUCCUUGAAAAACUGAACUUAUUGACAUAAUAAACAUAAGUUUUACUUAUAAAAAUAAUAACAAUAAAUCAAUUAUUAGGUUAGAUUAUUCAAAGAGAAAAUGGAGAGACACACGGAAGAGAAAAGGGGAAGAAUACACAUAAUAAAAGAUAAAAAAAAAAUCAAUUUACUUACAUCUUAAUUUCAUUGUAGAUGAUAAAUAGAGUGUGCGUAAAAAAAUACAUCUAUAUAAUUUUUUAAUAUAAAAAUUUCAAUUCAUUAUUGUUUAUGUAUCAUAGAGCAAAUGAAUUUUAAGACGACAAAGAAAUAGCUUGUCAACUUCUUUCUUAUUUAUUGUAAUUGGUUGGUUGUAGGUUUAAUUAAAAAUGAAAAAAAAUUGGAAGAUUGUAAAGGUGAGGGGUGAAAGAAAGAGGAAAAAUAAAUUACUUUAAUAAACUGUAAAUAUGGAAGAAAGUAAGGGGUGCAGUCAAAAAAGAAAAAUCAGGGGCACGGUGCACCUGUUGAAAUGUCAUAAAAUAUGCAGAUAUGCUCCCAUAUGAGAAUCUUAUCAUAAAUUAUAAGUAAAAAUACUGUACAUAAAAUCAAAGUUGCAGAAAAUUCUAGAUUUUCUAAAGCAGGACUGUGAUUUGUGAGGGAGUAGGGAAGGUGACUCGUAACCGUAAAAGCAAAGGAGGAUGAGUCAUAAAGGAAAGUGGUGGUGGCCUGGUGGGCUCUUAAACUACUUGGGUACCACGAAAAAACACAAACUUUGCUUUUAAGAUUCCACCCGAUCCUUUUAAUUUCUUUUUCGUUUUUGUUUUCUAAUUUAGUUGCAUUUUUAGUUUUUCUUUUAUUUUAUUUUGUUAUGUUGUUUUAGAAAUUUCUGCUGUUGGCGCCAUGUUUUGUUUACUGUUCUUUCCUUAUUUGUAAUUUUUCUAUCGCCCCAGCAGGUUUAUUUUAAUGUCCUUUGUUGAUGUUGCUCUAGUGCAUGCAUCGAGAGGUUAUGCUUGUUUUGGAGUCGUAGCUGGACUUUUAAUACUAGUAUGUCAAGUUUUCGGUGGCCUAAGGUGGUGGUUCCGUGUGUGGAUUUUCACGUAACGUUUUAUUUUUUAUUCGUUUUUUAUGAUUUUAUUUAUUUUUUUCAUUUUAGUUUUUUGUUAGUUCAUUAAACUCACGGAUCUUUGAUGUGAGUUUUUCUAUUAUGAUUUGGAGAUAAUGUUGUGUUUUAUUUACUAGCACUAUGUUGAGCUUCUUUUCCCAUUGAAAUGUGUUCUCCACUUACAAUAACUGAGGUGAAUACCCUGAGUCAGAUAUAAAAAAAUUCCUCUUAAACUUUCUUAGAACUUAGAAUAUUGAAUUUUUUUUUCGUUUGAUUAUAAAGAAUUGAUAGUAUCGAUAGUUUAUUUUUUACAAAUCUUAUUCCCACUGUCAUAAAAAUAGUGGUCAUGGUUCUUUUAUAAAAAAAUAAGUAUUGUAUUUAAAUUUGAUAUAACCAAUUGUAUUUAAACACAAUGUUAGGGCUAUUAGGACUAUUUGCACUUUAAAAAUUGCUCUGAACAAUCUAAUUUCAAUAAAAAUAUGUAUUACAAAAAUAUCCAUCAUAUGAAUUACUUUGAACACUUAUAUAACACACUCAUUAUUCAAUUUAUAAUUCUCAUACCAUAAUCCCAAAAAUUUUAGCCAAUGAGCUCAUAGCCCAUUAUCAACUCAUGCGCCUAAUAAACUUAGGUGCAUGAGUUCGAGUCCCAGCCAUUGAUGGAACUUGAUUCCCCUUUCUAAUAAGGGUUUAUCUGACUCCUCGCAUUACGAGUAGAAUAGAUCUUUUUCUAGUAUUAAAUAAGCAUCGUUCUUUAGGCUGUGCCAUAAUAGAAUUAUUAAAGAGAAUCUCGAUUGACCGUUCUUCAGUCUAUGUCAUAAUAGAAUUAUUAAGAAGAGUCUCGAUUAAUUUUUUGUUGUAAAAUAUCAGUAGAGCUCUGAUGAUAAAUAUAUCAGUAUAAUAAAAAAAUUCAAAAAUUUUUAUUUCCAACAUCUUAAUUAAUACUUAGAUGAAUAAUAAGUAAAUUAAUUUUUAAAAAAAAUUGACUUUAGAAUAUGUGUAAUACUUUUUAUUUUUAAAAAAUAAAACAAAACAAAAGUAUUGUAUAAGCUUCUUCUUUUUUGGGAGGGGGCUUUGGCCAUUCUUCUUCAUCUUUGUCUUCUUCUUCUCCUUCUCUUUUUUUUUUUUAUAGUAUUUAUGGAAUAUUUUUUUAUUGUGUUCUCAUUGUAAAUUAUUUUAGGUGUAAAAUUUAAUAUUGAACAUAAAUAAAAAAAUUAAUAACUAAAUUAUGCUAAUUUGUUUUUUACAACUUGAUGAAAUUAUAUUGUUGUAAGUAUAUGUCAAAUCUCUUAUAAAUUGUGUGCUAAAUAGUUUAUCACUUUUUGAAAUAAAUAAAGUUAACUAACUUAAACAGUUUAAGUUAGGAUAUUUUAAAAUUUUAAAAAGUUUUCAAAAUAAUAUUUAAAGUAUAUAUAGUCCAAUUCCAUUUAUUAUUAUACUCUCCGCCAACUUUAUUUUUUUCAAUAAAAUUUAUUAAAAAAAUUAAGAAUUUUAUUAAAUUACAAUGGCUGUAACUUACAAUUCUUUUAAAAUUUAUACCGAUCCCAUCACUUAUUAUCACCAUUCAAAGGAGCUGACAGUAGGAGCUGACGGUAACUUAGCAGCUCCCAAGAACUAAAGUUGUAAAAAGAAAACAGAGAGAGAUUUAUUAAUUUUUUUCUUUUUAAAAAAAUACUAACUCUACAUUUUACAAAGAUGACAGUGAUACCCAUUAUUUCCAUGGAUAUCAGUACACUCAUUAUUUCCACUUGUUCUGUAGCAAUCGAGUAGAAAUUAAGCCUUUCUGCCGCAUAUAUAAACCACAUCCAAGGAUCAUAUUGCUCGCUGACUCUUUUUAGUUUUCGCAGACCAAAUUGGACAGAAGAAGCUUUUACUCUCUCACUAUUACUCUAUGUUUCACCUUGGUGCUGACUCAGAAAUGAACAGUCUCGUGGGGUUCAGAUUCUACCCAACUGGUGAAGAAAUCAUUCGUCUCCUGAAGAAGAAGAGACUUAACCCUGGUUUCUUUGUCCAUACGAUCAAGGAAAUUGAUUUCUACAGCUUUGAACCCUGGGAGCUACCCUGUAAGUGAUCGUUCCAACCAAGUACGCUACACGAUGUCUGUUUAAGAUUAAUUAGUUUAGUAACUAAAAUUCAGAAAUUAAUGGAAUCUUUUGCUGCGAUGCAGGCCAUUCGGAGAUUCAGUCUGAGGAAGAGGUAUGGUACUUUUUCUGUGAGCCUGAUUACAAGUAUGCCAAGAGUAGACGGGUAAAUAGAGGAACAAAUGAAGGAACCUGGAAAAAGACUGGCAAUGGUUCUAAAAUCAAGCGAAAAUACAGUACCGAAGUGAUUGGUACCAAAAGGAUUUUGUCUUUCUCCCGCCAUGAUUCUGCUUCCAAGAAAGCUAAGACUGAGUGGGUUAUGCACGAAAUAACUGUUGAAGAUGACCCUGAUUAUAAGGUAUUAGCUACUGUUUUAGAAUUGCAUAGGUAUUGUAAAAUAAUCUGUUUAUUUUCAUGAAAAAUAAUUGUAAAAUACUCUGUUUAUUUUAUUGCAGAAGGACUUUGUUGUGUGUCGCCUUGAAAGAAAACGGGAGAAGAAGAUGCUUGGUGUUGUUUCCACUAAAAGAAAACGGGAUGAGAAGCUUGGUGUUUCCACAAAUGAUGGUGAUCAAUCUUGUCAAAAUUUGACUUCUAAAAGAAGUCAUAUUGCAGAAGAUACUACUAGAAAUCAUGUUGUAGAAAAAGAAGAUUUGGUUUCUAAUAGGACUCGGGUUGCAGAAAAUACUGUUUUGGCCUCUGAAGUUCAAGCAAGAGACCAUUCGAUUUCUGAUUCUAGAGAUCAUGUUGCAGAAAAUAUUGUCGACAAUUCUGUUGAGGCAGAAACUCGACAACUUGCAGAAUUCAAUCCACAGGGUGAUGGCUAUAAUGGGCUGAAUGAAGCCUCUGUCUUGGCACUGCAGUCACCAGUUUAUCCAGAGCAGGAAUCGUCAUAUUCUAAUGGUUCUAGUUGCGGUAAUGGUUUAUUGAAUUCUGAAUUUGACAGUGAGAAGGUAGAUGACCAGUUCAAUUCACAGAGGGAUUUUCAGAAUAAAGACUCUCCUAAUGAAUCUGGGCAGACCACUUCUGACUUCGUCUCAUCAAAGUCAGAUGAAGGAGUUUACUUGGAGGAUGGCAGUGACAUGGACUCUGAAACCUUCAUUGCAAAGGUGAAGAUAUUCUUUCAGUAUUAAUAGUACUUCAGUAGCAUACGUUAAGAAUAAUCAAAUCCUCCAGGAGCAUAUUAUAUUAUUAUUAAUGUAAUAUUGCUUCAUUCAUAGUGUAUUGUAUUACAAACUUUUUAAUCCUUGAGAGUGAUUGUUUGGGGCAUUUGGUUGCACAAGUUGCUCUCUAUCAUAUGUAAUAUCUACAUGUAAGAGUACGGUCAAGUUUUGGAGAAGUUCAGCUUGUUAAAUGGGAAUGCUUAUUGAAAACAUUAGAGGCUGAUCAGACUUGAUAGGGCUAAGGGAAGAUCAAAAGAACUCAAUUACCAGCAUCUUUGACUGUUGGAAAUCAGCAGACCUGGAGUCCCCAACACAGAGGCUAUUUUAAGGUAAGUGUAGAUGCAGCUGCUAAUGCAGAUAAGCAAAUCCCAGGGCUGGGAGCUGUUAUUCAAGAUGAAACUGAGAAUGUAAUUGCAGCUGCAAUUAAUCCUUCAAAGUUUUAUGGAGAUGUAUCUUUUGUGGAGGCAGAAGCGGUGGAGUGGGGUAUGCAAGCUUAGCAUUAUUGCUUGCUGAAUCAGGCUCCCAAGAGGUGGUUACCUGGCAUUAUUGCUUGUUGAAUCAGGCUCUCAGGAGGUGGUUAAUUUUGUAAACAAAAGGCAGGGCAUGCAGCAGAUCCAAAAUCUUCUGUUUUAUCUCAUAAAUUCAGUAACUUUGUGAAGGGCUUUGGUCAUGUUGGUGUCCAGUAUGCUCAUAGAUCUUGUAAUGUUAUUGCCCUCUCUUUAGUUACUAGAAAUGCGAAACUGUUGUAUGGAUGGGCUCAUACCCUUCGCAACUGAUGUAUUUAUUUUCUUCUAUGAAUUGAAUUUGGUUUUAUUCUCAGAGUAAAAACUGAAAAAAAAAAAUUCUGAUGUUAAAAAUUCUUGUGACGGUAACUGUCUUCAUUCAUGUAUAUAUGACACUAUAAGCAGUUAGCUCAUAAGCUGUGGAGGCUUUUGUUCAUCCCUUUUUUGUGGCAUCUGCAACAAUCUCCUAGCAUCCUUGUUAAUAAUACAAAAUUGUUAGUCAAGCAGUUCAUUGUGGCUUUGAAGCUUAAAUAAUUUUCACAUAUUAAGAAGCAAAAACAGGAGCUAAAAUGAGCCGCCUCCUUCUGAAUGAGUAAUGACUAAAGUUGCUCCUUCAGAAAGUUGGUUAUUAGUUUAAAGAAACAAGUGAUAAAGCGGAAACAAGAGAUAAAAAUGCGCAUAAUACUGCUGAUCUCAUUUCAUUGGAAUACAUAAGUACAUGAUUCUUUCUUGUACCCCAUGAGGUCUGAUGUGUCAUGUAUAAUUACAGCUAUUCUGUACUACUCACGAUCCUCGACCAGUUGUCUAAAUCUAAAGCCAGUAAGCUUAUGCUUUCACCCAUAAAGCUAUAUGUUUAUCUUUAGGAGCCCCCUAAGUUAACGUAACUUAGCACUCGUCUCAUAUUUAUUGUCCAAAUAAGAGAUGAAAAAAGAACACGGAUAAUACUUUGAAGAUAAAAUUGGUCAUUCGAGAUCUAUUAAAAUCGGUUUUGAAAACAUUUUUAGUCCAUCCUAGUAAAAAUCUUGUUAAUCGAAAAAGUCAGAGAGCUCGGAAAACUCUGAACUCCAUGAAAAUCCUAACUUGUUGAAAACGAUUCCACCACCACUGCUUGAGAAUCGGUCCACCAAAAAGGUUCGUUUUCGCAGCUAUGGCACCGACAAGGAUAACCCACCGCCGAUAUCCUUCAAGGAUGCACUUGUGGCCCCUAGCCAAGACAUAAAUUUUGCUGAUACUGAGAUGGAAGAAGAAUGAGAUUUUGAACCUGGAGAUGUGAUAGUCGGAGAUAAUGGUACCAUGCCAACUAUCAAAUUCUCUAAACGAAUUCAUGAUAAAUUGACUAAACCUUGGCAGAACUCUGUGGUGGUGAAGUUGUUGGGGAGAAGCAUUGGAUAUAAGGUUCUAUGUAAUCGGCGGAAGGUAAUGUGGCAUAUGAUACAAGAUUUUUCAGUGAUUGACCUUGAAAACAAUUAUUUUUUAGUUUGCCUCCACACACCAGAGGAUGCUGUCUAUGCACUAACUGAGGGGCCAGGGGUAAUCUUUGGGCACUAUUUAACAGAACAACCUUGGACUCCACAAUUUGACAACACCAUUACUGAUAUCGAUUCUGCAAUUGUCUAGAUUCGUUUACCUGGUAUGGCUUUUCAUCUAUACAACAAGUGUAUACUACGAAAGGUUGGACAACUGGUGGGUAUUGUUAUCAAGAUUGAUUAUCAUUUCGAAUUAUGGGAGAGGGGAAAGUUUGCUAAGAUUGUUGUUCGCAUUUCUUUGUCUCAACCUUUGGUGUCUCAGUUUAAUUUGGAUGGAAAGGUCCAGAAAGUUGAAUACGAAAGUUUGCCAAUUAUCUGUUACCAAUGUGGUAAAUAUAUGGCCACAAUAGCAUCGCUUGCCCUGACAAACAAAAUCCAAAUAGGGCUAACGAUGGUAACUCUAAGAGCAUUCCUCUAAUUAAUGUGGCGGUUGAUAAUGAUGGUGCUCCAACUGUGGCAAAUAACAGUAGGGAGAAAUUUGGCCCAUGGAUAGUUGUGCCACGGAAAGGGAGAACUAAAGUAGUAGUGGACAAGGAGAACAUUUUUUAUUCGGAGAGGAAUCAAUAGAAUAACUUUAGUACUGCCUCCCGUUUUGCUGCCUUAUCUGAUAAUCCCGACACAAAUGUCGCGGUGGAAGUUGUUGUUCAGAACCCUUCCUUUACCCUCCUCAAUGACCAACGACAUCCGUUACUGACCACUUUUAUGCCUAAAGGAACCCUACUUUGAAAACCUCUACCACCCUAAAACCCCAUAACCACCUUUCUAAAGGUAAACAAGAGGUUAAAGCACAGCUUUCACGACUUAGGCAACCAAACUCCAAAAUUUUCACUUCCAUGCAUGCAAACCUAUGCCCCCAUGUUACUAGAACUCUUUCCCACAAUACACACAUCCAUAUCCCGAACCCCUCAGGACAUACUCCUUGUUUGUCUGUUAAACCUACUUUCACCUUGAAAACCUUUGAUCCUCAUAACCAUACCGCAGUGACCUUUCCCAUAAAAAACCAUGCGAUGGUGGGCAACUAGCUGGGUUGCUCAAGUGGAAAAGAUUAUGCCAACCCUGAACAGCAACGCUACCCAAAGCAGCUAGCUGAUCCUCCCGAUGAUAAGGAUGAAAGGGAAGUUAAUACAAUGGCAGACUAUGCUAAUGACCCUAAACUUGUGUUCAGCCAUGUAGGUGAAGACACGAUGUCUGAUGAUGAAAACGAUGUCGUUAAUGAAACUCUUGGCAUGCAUGAAGGAGUGGUUUUAGGGCUUAGUAUGUAAGCAGCUCAUACUCACCCUCUUUGUAUAUAUAUUUUUAUGACGAUUUCAAUCCUUUUCUGGAAUGUCCAAGGGGCGGGGUCCCCAAACUUUUGACGUGUUUUUGAUACUUUAGUUAAAAGCUACAAUCCUACAAUUGUUGAGAUUUUAGAGCCCAUAAUCAGUGGUAAGAAAGCAGAUGACUUCAUUGAAAAAAAUGACUUUAACCGCUCGCAUCGAGUAGAAGCUACUGGGUUCUUUGAAGGCAUUUGGAUCUUAUGGAGGAAUUUUUUUGACGUUGAGAUUGUCUUAAAUCAUAAUCAAUUUAUUCAUUUGAAAAUCAGUGUCCAGAAUGUUAUCCAAUCCUGGGUCACAACAGUUUAUGCGAGCCCCAAUUCAAUUGGACGUCAUGAUCUUUGGCACCAUUUGAAUUGUAUUGCGAAUUCGAUGCAUGAUCCUUGGAUUGUGAGGGGUGAUUUCAAUUCAAUAUUGUAUGCUGAGGAAAAACGUGGAGGUUCUCAAUUGAGCACGGGUGUUUGUCUAAAUUUGAAAUAAUGGUAUCAUGCUAAACAAAUGGUUGACUUGCAGUUCAGUAGUCCCCGAUUCACUUGGUCACGUGGGAAUCUUUCGAAGCAUCUUGACCGUGCUAUGAGUAAUCAAGAGUGGAUUCUCAAAUUUGAUAGUUAUUCGGUUACUCAUUUGCCACGAAUUGAAAUUUACCACAUAUCGAUUUUGGUUCGCUUUGAGCGCAAUUUUAGAUGCAUAUGGAGCACCAAGCCUUUCCGCUUUCUAGUUGCUUGGAUGACUAACAAACGGUUUGGGGCUUUUAUGCAGGAUAGCUGACAAAAAAAUACUCUUUAUUCCCAAGCAGCCUCUAUCUUCACAAAUAAAGUGGCUACUUGGAAUAGAGAAGUUUUUGGCAAUAUCUUUAAACGAAAAAAAGAAUUAUUGGCUCGAAUUGGUGGGAUUCAGUAGGCUUUGGAGCGCCAGCCUUUUCGUAGUUUGUAUCGUCUUGAGGCAAAUUUAAAAAAGAAGUUAGAAGAAGUUCUAUCUCAAGAGGAGUUAUUAUGGUAUAAAAAAUCCCGCAGAGACUGGAUUAAUUACGGGGAUCAGAAUACCUUUUUUUUCAUCAGAAAACCAUUACAAUGAGGGCUCGUAAUCGCAUCACUGCUAUUAAGGAUGAUGGAGGUACUUGGCUUUAUAAUACAUAGGAUAUUAAAUCUCAUUGCGUGUCAUUCUUCUCUACUUUAUAUAAAUCUGAUCAAGACACCUACUGUCUGUAUCAUGUGCAAGGGUGUUUUUCUCAAAUUGAUCAGCUUUGCUUGGCAAAUCUUGCUACUCCGAUUGAUAAUGAGGAAAUUUGUCAGGCUGUUUUUCAGAUGAGCCCUCUCAAAGCCCCUGGAGUCGAUGGCUUUCAUGCUGGAUUUUAUCAAUCUCAGUGGCAUAUUGUUAGUGACUCUUUUUGUGUUGGCAUAAAGGAAGUAUUCACUUCGCAUUGUAUCCCUAGAGAAGUUAAUAAAACCCUCUUCAUCCUCAUCCCAAAGACUGGACACCCUACGUCUUUUAAGAUGUAUCGCCCUAUCAAUCUAUGCACAAUGUUAUAUAAAAUAGUGACUAAGAUUAUUGUGAAUAGACUUCAAGCUUUACUCCCCGAUCUCGUUGGUCCCAAUCAGACAAGCUUUGUCCCUGACCGAUAUAUCACUGAAAACAUCAUCAUUGUUCAUUUUAUGGGACGAAAGAUGGGUAAAAAAGGUUUCAUGGCUAUAAAGGUUGAUCUAGAGAAGGCGUAUGAUAGAUUGAGCUAGAAUUUUAUCCAUGAGACUUUAAUGGAGCUCUCUUUGCCAUUGGACCUUGUUCACUUAAUAAUGAAAUGCCUUACUUCUAACUGUAUGAACAUUUUAUGCAAUGGUGAAUUAAUUGACGAUUUUUCUCCUAGCAAAGGUGUAUGACAUGGUGAUCCUUUGUCCCCCUAUAUUUUUGUGCUUUGUAUCAAAAGACUAAGUCAUGGGAUUUAUUGCUCAAUUCAGCAAGAUCAAUGGAAGCCUAUUCGGUUAUCUUGGAUGGGUACUCCCCUAAGCCACUUAUUUUUUGCCCAUGAUCUUUUACUCCUUGCCGACACCUCUAGUGACCAAGCUUAUUUCAUCAAUUCGGUCUUGGAAGAAUUUUGUUUGUGCUCUGGCGCAAAGGUGAAUAAAUCUAAGACCUAGGUUUAUUUUUCCAAAAAUGUGUCUGUUGAUGUUGCUGGCAGAUUGGGGGGCAAGUUAGGGUAUACAGUUACAAAAGAUUUGGGCAAGUACUUAGGCAUGCCACUGUUACACCGCCGUGUUACUAAGCAAACUUACUAGGGGAUUCUAGAUAAAAUGGAUCAACGGCUUUCGGGAUGGGUUGCUUCUCAACUAUCUCUUGCAGGGCGGAUUGCUCUCACUCAAUCUGUCCUCCAAGCAAUUCCCAUUUAUGCUAUGCAAACUACGAAUUUACUGGUUAGUAUCAAAUCUAAACUUGAUCAAAGUUGUAGAUGUUUCUUGUGGAGUGGAAAUGAUGAUCUGCGUAAAAUGAGUUUAAUUAGUUGGCAUAAUAUAUGCCAACCGAAAUUGGCUGGUGGCCUAGGUUUCAAAAGACUGGACAUUAUGAAUGAAGUUUUGUUGUUGAAGAUUGCUUGGAAUUUAAUUACUGAACCUGAUAAGCUUUGUGUCCAAGUGUUAGCUACAAAAUACAAAGUUUCUUGCUCGAAUAUUCCAUAUUCUAUUCCCACUCGAUACGGCUCUCAUUUGUAGAAAUCUGUGGGUUGAGUUUGGAAUCAUGCUAAUCGGGGAUUACGUUGGAAUGUUGGUAAUAGUAGGAAAAUCAAAUUUUGGUGGACUGUUGGGCAACAACAUUUUACCCUCUUGUGGCUUUUGCUUUGCAGCCGAUCCCUCUUGAUCUCAGCAAUUUGUAUGUUGCUUAUUUUGUGUCCACAGAUGGUUCUUGGAAUUGGCCAAAAUUCAGUCACCUUCUACCCUAUAAUGUAGUGAUGCGAAUUACUUCAAUUUAUCCCCCUUCGGCUGGAAAUGGCGUAGACCAAGUCUACUGGGCAGCUUCAUUACAAGGACAGUUAAAUCAGUGUAUAAUCUUUUGGCUCAGUCGCAAUGGAAUGACAGGGAUAAUUUCUGGUGGUUGGCUUGGUCAUGGAAGGGCCCGUAAAGUGUAAAGAUUUUCAUUUGGUUGGUGUUUCACAAUCGCUUGAAGACUCGAGGAGAAUUAGCAUCACGCCAUUUAAACAUUGAUUCAUCUUGUGAAAGGUGUGGAUAUGGAUUGGAGAAUACAAUUCAUGUCCUCCGUGACUGUCCUUUUUCUAAAGCGGUUUGGUUUUGGUUGCUUCGGGGCCAUAAUCAUCAGCAUUUUUUCGAAGCUAACCUUGCGGGCUGGAUGUCAAAGAAUUUGCAGGAUUCGAACAAUUUUCUAGAUGGCAACCUUUGGCGUGUCACUUUUGGCAUUGCUAUUUGGCGGCUUUGGUUUCGGCACAAUCAAUUUAUUUUCACCAAGGCUUUCUGGGCGAGCAAUAAUAUUACAAUGGAUAUCAAAGUUAAGACAACUAAAAUUCAAAGAAGUAAUUUGUGUUCUCUUACUGCUGGCAUGGCCCGUGUCGAGAGAUAGAUUGGUUGGACUGCUCCUCUUUGGCCGUGGGUGAAGUUAAAUACAGAUGGUGCCAAGAAAUCUUCAAGCAAUGUAGGAGUUGGUGGACUAAUAUGUGAUUACAGAGGUAUUUGGCAGGCAGGUUACAAUGUUAACUUGGGUGUUUGCUCAGUGACUUCAGCAGGACUAUGGGGUUUAUUUCAUGGGCUAUCCAUCGCUUGGCAAUAUGGUUUUCGUAGGGUUCAAGUGGAAAUUGACAAUAAGUGUGUUAUGCAAUUAGUCUCUAGCUCGAACACUCCUGUCAAUGAACUCUUUACUCUCAUUCAAGCCAUCAAGAAUCUCCUUCGUCGUGAUUGGUUGAUUAAAGUGGAUCAUAUCUAUAGGGAAGCCAAUGUAGCAGCAGAUUUCCCUGCGUCCUACAGUUUUUCUUUUCCUUUGGGUUUACAUUGCUUUCAAUCUAUCCCUUCUAAUAUGAUUAGCAUAUUAAACAAUUAUGUCUAUGGGGUUGCGCACUCCCACUUAGUGUUGCCUUAACUCUUUUAAGAGCCCUCUUAUUAUUAAAAAAAAAUAAUCAGUUUUUUAAAUAUAUUUUUAAAAAUUACUGAUUUACUCCCAAAAAUAUUAUUUUUCUCACCACCAAAAUACAAGCACUGGCCCAAUAAAACUGUAUUUUAAAGAGAUUUUUAAAAGUCAAUCAAAACCCCUACUAACUAAAUAAUCUUAGCCCCUAAGGACGUAGUCGGAUCGGUAACAUUAAGAAUCUUAUAGUCCCGAACCACUCGGAUUCAAUCCUUAAGGAUGAUAAGGGGAAAAAAUAAAAAAGUAUUUGAGUUUUGCCGACUUCCCUUAAAAAAAAAAAAAAAAAGACUAAAUAAUCUUAACCUCUGCUCAAGUCGGUUUCAAGCACAAGCUGAGUCAUAUGCCACAUUUUGCCACAUCAGAUUAAAUGGCCCUUGAGUCGUAUGCUGACGUGAAUUAUUGACUCCUUGUAAAAGAAGUAGAAGCUUCCAGUAUUAUUAGAAAUUAGCAGACAACUUGUAAAGGAAGGGGAGACGCGUGUCUUUAUUUCCUUUCAUUCCUUCUAAAAGAAGGAGACACCCUGUAAGUGGAUCGCUGACCGUACGAUGUUAACACAUUUUGCUCGCGUGAAAACAAAACUAACGCGACACAUCAUCAACUGCCCCUUGACGUUUCAUCGACCAAUCACCAAGCUUCAAGCUAGUGUAUAUAUAAAUAAACGGUGAACCCAGUAAAUUUUUAUCAUGAGAGACAGCUGGCUAGGCCUCAAGCACUUUGAAUCAAAUCUAAAAGAUGGGCUAUCUCGUUUUCAGAUUAUUCAGAUUCCAUCCACCAGAUGAAGAAGAAAUCAUCAAGCUUCUUCUGAACAAGAAGAAACUUGACCCUGAUUUCUAUGUCCAAACAGAUAAGAAGCACAGAGCUGAAUGCGUCGUGUACGGGUUUCAUUUCAGGUAAAGUUGACAAGGUGACUGUCUUGCUUAUUUAUUUUCUGGAUUUUGGCUCUCACAACAGGAAAUUUCAAUGAAAAAUCUCUCUUUGCCGGAAUAAAAAUUGAUGGUUAACAUUCUAAAUUUUUGAGCUCAUACUCUUUACAACUUUAAUUUGUGUGAAGGGAAUUUUAUAUUUGCCUCUUAGAAAGAAAAUUAAAAAAUAAAAAAUUAACGAGGCUAAAACUUCAACAUGUGAUGAUGGUCAAUCGAGUCACCAAUCAUUUCUAAUUUUAGAAAUCAUGUUGAAAAAGGAUAUUCAUGGGUGACAUAGGGCAUGCCUUAGGGAUAAUUUCAACAUGUUAUCCAUUUUUGUCGUAUGAGACUGCUACGUGAAAUUAUUACUUCUUUGCCAUUUUAGUUGUUAUUUUAGGUAGAAGGUCGACCACUGCCAAAUAUUGAUUCUAGAAAUCUUAUUUAUCUUUUACAUCAGGUAGAAUGUGAACAAUUAACAGCUCAUAGUAUGACUUAUAAGUGUAGAAAUCGUGUUGUAGAAAAUAGAUGUUUCAGUUCAUAGGUGAGAAAGAAUAUGUGUUGUUGACAGCUUUUUAUACCAACUAAUGAAUGUAGUGCAUAAGAAAUAUAUUUGGAACUAAUGCUAUUUACGGUUCUUAUUUCAGGA
This 83131-nucleotide long non-coding RNA is filed under the name Citrus maxima (pomelo). RNAcentral's name for it is "long non-coding RNA (CMAX_LNC002229)". Lineage: Eukaryota; Viridiplantae; Streptophyta; Magnoliopsida; Sapindales; Rutaceae. The record is from RNAcentral.